RNAcentral lists this long non-coding RNA (50046 nucleotides) under Brachypodium distachyon (stiff brome). Its description in RNAcentral is "long non-coding RNA (BDIS_LNC002922)". The stretch from base 13669 to 13804 matches the Rfam family "MIR1120/MIR1122 microRNA precursor family". The record is from RNAcentral. Lineage: Eukaryota; Viridiplantae; Streptophyta; Magnoliopsida; Poales; Poaceae.
CCUUGUUUACCUGGUUGAUCACGAGUUGGGAGUCUCCGCGAACAACCAAUUGCUUGAUGUCGAGAGCGAUCGCCGUGCGUAACCCGGCAAGUAGUCCCUCGUACUCUGCCGUGUUGUUGGUGGAGUUGGCGAAGUCAAGCUGUAUCACGAACUUGAGCUGGUCUCCAGUGGGCGACUCGAUCACCACUCCGGCACCGGCGCCCUGCAAGCAGAAGGCGCCGUCGAAGUACAUGACCCAGUACCCUUCGUCCAAUGUGCCGGGAAGGCUCGCUUCCAGCUCUUCUCCCUCUAUGCCUGUUGACGUCCACUCCGCGAUGAGGUCAGCGAGAGCAGUGCUCUUGAUGCUCUUGGUGUUGGCAAAACACAGCCCGAACUCCACCAGCUCCAUCCUCCACUCGGCCACCCUCCCGGUGGUUUCACGGUUGGUGAGGGCUCUCUCUAGGCAGAACCCCGACACCACCGUGAUGCUGUGCGCCUGAAAGUAGUGGCGCAGCUUCCUUGAAGCGAGCAGGAUCCCAAGUAGAAGCUUCUGGACCUGCGGGUACCUUACCCGGGCAUCAUGCAACACCGUGCUAACGAAGUACACGAGAUGCUACACUAGCCGCUAGCGUGGGCUGUCCCUCGGAUCCAGGGGCAGAGGAGGUAGCCGGGGGUUCCAUCGGCUCGCCGAGAGCCCCCGGCCCUUUCGUCCCAGCCCCCGGGACUUGCUCUUCCCUCUCGGCAACGAGCAUGGAGCUCACUACCUGGUCCGUCGCUGCUAGGUACAGCAGCAACGGCUCGCCCGGUUUGGGGGCAACGAGGACCGGCGGCGACUUCAGGUACCUCUUCAAGUCCUGGAACGCCGCUUCCGCCUCGGGAGUCCAAUUGAUUGGACCCUUCUUUUUCAUCACCUUGAAGAAAGGCAGGGCUCGCUUGCCCAGCCUUGAGAUGAAACGUCCGAGCGCCGCAACGCACCCGUGAGGUGCUGGACGUCUCUAACCUUGCGGGGUGCCUCCAUCUUUUCUAUCGCUUCGAUCUUCUGCGGAUUGGCUUCGAUUCCCCUGUGAGAGACCGAGAAGCCCAGCAAGUGUCCCGAGUCCACACCGAACGUGCACUUCUCGGGGUUAAGCUUGAGCUUGAUCCUGCGGAGACAUCUCCUGCAGGUCGCCGACGAGCGAGUCCCUAUGCCGCGACUUGACGAUGAUAUCGUCCAUGUAAGCCUCGAUGUUCCGGCCUAGCUGGGGCCCCAGACACUCGCACAGGGCGCGCUGAAAUGUCGAGCCCGCGUUCUUCAACCCAAAACGCAUGCACGUGUAACAGUAGCAGCCAACCGGGGUGAUAAACGUUGUUUUCUCCUCGUCUGAUGGUAGCCGGAGAAGGCAUCCAGAAAGCACAAAGACUCACAACCCGCUGUAGAAUCUACUAUUUGGUCGAUACGGGGUAUAGGGAAGGGGUCCUUUGGACAUGCACGGUUAAGAUCAGUAAAAUCUACACACAUGCGCAAUUUAUUUCUAGCUUUAGGGACUACAACAGGGUUUGCUAACCAAGUGGGGUACAACACUUCCCUGAUCGCCCCGGCGUUCUUGAGCUUCUCCACUUCCUGCUGGAUGAAGUUCUUGCGUUCUUGUGCUUACCGGACGGGCCGUGCGUCUGGCCGCACCGCCAGCCGAUGCUCGAUCACCUCCCUAGGGACUCCGGGAAGAUCUGACGGCUCCCAAGCGAAAACGUCAGAGUUCUCCCGGAGGAAGGCGACGGGGGCGCUUUCCUAUUUGUCGUCGAGGCUCGCACCGAUGGAGACGGUGCGUGCCUCGUUGCCGGCAUGUAGGGGCACCUUCUUGACCUUGGUGCCCUCCUCCUUCAGCUUCGUGCCCUUGCUUACGCAUGGGCUGGAGUAGGAGCUGCCCCCGGCAUCCUGCCCGGGAGCGGCUCGCGUCUUCUUCUGUGCAGGUUGUUCACCCGCAAGUGGAUCCUCGUUCCCGGCAACAUCAUAGUCGCCGGGAUCUGCGGAGGUCUUCACGACCUCGCCCACACACCAAGCAGCGUCCUUCAGGUCGCCCUUGAUGGAAAGAACGCCGUACGUUGACGGCAUCUUCAUCACGCCGUAGGCGCAAUGGGUUGCCGCCACGAACUUGAACAGCGCUGGCCGACCAUUGAUCACGUUGUAUGGCAACGGGGUGUGAGCCACAUCGAAAAUAAUGUCCUCAGUCCGGAACGCUUCCUGGGAACCGAAAUUCACCGGGAGCGUGAUUCGCCCCAUGGGCUGCACCACUCCGAGGUUGAUCCCCCGGAACGGGUCGGUGGGCUUCAUCUGCUCCAGGGGCAGCUGAAGUUUUUUCACCAGCUUGGCGGACAGCAGGUUGAGGCUUGCCCCGAUGUCCACCAGUACCUUGGUCACCGUCACGUUGUUUAUGAUCGGCCACACUACGAGUGGGAGCACCCCUGAACCCAAGGGACGGAUCGGGUGAUCGUCCGAGUUGAAGGUGAUCGGCACAUGCGACCACCUCAACGGCUGCUGCGCCUCCACGCUGGGGAGGAGGGCACAGACCUCACGCGUGAGCCACUUCACGGCGGCGUGAGACGUGAGAGCAUACGCUCCCCCGUGGAUGCAGGCGACGUCGCAAGGCUCCUGGAAGCCGAGCUCGUCGGCGUCGGCGUCGCUGUAGACAUCCUCGUGCUGCUUAGCGCGAGGCUUGUCGCGUCCCCGGGGAGGCCGGUCCUUUCAGCCGCGGGCCUGACCGCGACCCCCCGCGGGUUCUCCUUUGUUGCCGCCAGCUGCGCCACGGCUUGCCCCGCCGCGGGGGUUGUUCAAGCAGUCCCGGGAGAGGUGCCCGAUGUCCCCGCAGUUGAAGCAAGCCCCGGCAGCGCGGCGCUCCUCGUGGGGCUGCUUGCACUUCUCCUUGAUGGUCUGGAGAGUGCGGCAGUCCUGCGCGUCAUGGGUGGCGUUGGUGUGGAUGGGGCAGCACGUGGCCGCUACUGGCUUGCUACCUGAUGCCCCCGCCGACGCCGCCUUCUUGGUCGGCCUCUGGGAGCCCCCGGCUCCGCGGCAGGCACUUGCUUCCCGCCGCAUUCCGGGAGCUCUUCUUCCCGGAGCCCUCUGGUGGGUUUGCUGCUGCUUUGGAUGCAAGCUCGGGUGCUAAGCGCCCUUCCUCGCCAUCGCGCACUUGUGCGCGAGCGCGUAGAGAUUCCUUGUGGUCCGGAUCCGGUGCGUGUUGAGCUUCUCACGCAUCUUCGGGUCCCGGACGUUGAUGGCGUACAUGUUAAUGAUGGCAGCCGCUUCCGCCUCAGGGAUGGAGUAGGAGAGGUUGGAGAACCUGUUGGUGAAGUCCCGCAAUGUCUCCCCCGGUUUCUACACGACUGUGUGCAGUUCCGCCAUGGUUCCCGGGCGCUUGUAACCGCCCUGGAACGCGUUCACGAACUGCUUGCGCAGGUCAGCCCAGGAGGCUAUGGACCCAGCGGGCAGGUUGAGCAACCAAGUCCUCGCUGAUCCUUUAAGGAUCAUCGGGAACCAGUUGGCCCUGACCUUGUCGUCGGCGCCAAUGGCGUGCAUGCCCAACGUGUAGGCCAGGAGAAAAUCCUUGGGAUUCACAGUCUCGUCGUAUGUCCCGAGCGUCGGCGCUCGGAACUGGCGGGGCCACGACACCCGGCGCAGCUCGCGAGUGAACGCGGCGCAGACGUCCUCGGCGCCCAUGGGAGCAUCUUCCUGCUCCUCUGGGCGCGGGCGUUCUGCUUCACGCCGACGCCGGCGCUCCAAGUGUGGGCGGAGGUCUUCCUGCUGGCGGGCGUUCAGGACGCCUCGCGCAUCACCCCGUGUAACGGUCGGUGACGAAUCCGAGGACCCCAUGGGAUCCUCGCCUCCUUGCCCUCCCGCCGGGGGAGGGUGUUCUCCGUGUCCUGAGAUGCGGGGCGCGUCUCUGCGUCCCGUGUUCUGCCCCCGGCCUGAACCAGCCGGGGCGCCCUCGCCUUGCGGCUGCUGGGCGGUGAGUGCAAGGAGCGAGUCUAGCUCCGCACUCCAUGCUUCAUGCGUCGGCGUACCUUGCGGUGGCUCGUAGCGCACCAUGACACGCGCAGCUAUGAUGGCUUCCGCCGGGGUCUGGGCGGGAGGCUGCCAAUUCUCCGACCGGCUACCCUUCGCCCUGUCACCCCGUGCCCUCCGGUGAGUGGGGCGAGACUCCGUCGGCGUCGCACGCGACACGCGGUGCUCUUAGCGCAGCUGCCGCUGCGCGUCUUUAGCCUGCGAGGGGACUCACUGGCCGGCGCUUGCGGCAUUGUGGCCGCUCGCGCGGCUGGGUUCGGCGCUGGGAGCCGCAGGCCCCCUCGGCCGGUUGUCUGCCGACGGCCGAGGAGGGGGAGGUGGCAGCUGCGAUUGCUGCUGCUGCCGUGGAGGGGAUCCCUGGUCUCCUUGUGCUUGUGACGCGCGCGCAACGUCAUGGGACCGAGUGCGCAUGGUGAGAGUGUCGCGCAAGUCGACCCGGGGCUCGUCUGCCUUCUUGGGCGGCAUGGCGAGCUAAUCGUUGAAGAUGUCGUAGGCGGUCAACCGAAGCUUUCUGCACGCCCCCCUACCUGGCGCGCCAGAUGUCAGAGCACGGUCUCCGGCACCGGGGAUGCCGAGCACCCCCUUUUUGGUUCGGCGGAGGGCGAGGGGAUCGCUCCGGCGAUCGCCGGCAUGGCGAUAGACACGAGGUGUAGACACCAAAGUUUUACCCAGGUUCGGGCCACCCGGAGGUGUAAUACCCUGCGUCCUGCUUUAAUUUGUAUUCACAAAUUUGAGUGCGUACAGAUCACCCAGGGAGUUCCUGGGUUGGCUACUUAGGUGAAUGCUGUGCUAUGUUCUAAUUACUCGGGUUGGAACCGAGCUGAACCCUUUUACCGGUGUCAUUGGUCCUCCUUUUAUAGACAAAGAGAUACCAUAGGUGCCUAUGCAUGCAGCGUGCCACGUUUUCCAGAUGCCCAGACGUGUCACGGCCGCACGAGACACACUUUGGUUGAUCCGCGCUGGACGUCUUAGCUUUAACUUCACCAAAGGCCGUCUCCUCGAGGCGGGCUUCCCGAACUCGUCGCUUCCUGGGAGGUCUUCCUGAAGGGGCUUCGUCACUGGCGACCCAUGCGUCCCGUAUCAGCGGGAUCCCAUGGGCCACUGGUACGACAAAAACCUUUCCAACAAUAUAAAUUUUUUAACAUAUAACCUACAUAUAUUUGUGUGAUCGUUGGUCAAAGUUCGAUCUCGAAAAGCGUGGGCGCCAUUCUUUGUGAAAUGGAGGGAGUAUUUUGCAUUUGGAAUCCAUCGUGACUUGGGCCUAGAGUGUUUGUUGCAUAUAUUUACGCGCAUGCACAACUGCCGUUGCUUGUUCCACAGAACCUUCAUUAGGCCCAUGUCUUGACAUGCUUAAUUGGGGUUGACUUGGCUUGAUUAAAAUUGUUGACUCUUUUCAGCAUGCAAACUACCGAUAUGUCCUCGAGUUUGACUUCUUCGUGCUAAUUUUUUUUUCGAACUCUUCAUGCUAAAUUAAUGGAUAAUUAUACUUAAAAGAUUUUUUUGAGUAAAGUACGGUUCUACCACGCGUCUUUGCCGGCCAAGUUUCAUAUGCCCUUCGGCGGCCUUCCCGUCCAUCCCGUCUUCCGUUGAUGAUGUUGCCGCAUCCCACCUGGAGCCCUGACGUGGGGGCGGCAGGCUGCAUCCGGUAGUUUUUUAUUACCUCGUAACCACAUAAAUUAAUUACGUGUUCUUUGAGACGUCGGAUCAGCUCCAUGUUUUAAAUGUUUUACAUUGGAAUCUAUGGUGACUUAUGCCUAAAUUGUUAUUGCAUAACAUUCGGUAGAUCCUUCUUUUGCCAUUUAUGCGCAUGCACACCACGGAUAUGUCCUGGAGUUUGACUUCUUCUUCGUGCCAAAUUAUGGGAUAAUUAUACUUAAAAGAUCAAACUGUAGUUUUAGCAGUAAUUUUAAAUGAAGUUCUCCACAGGGAUUAAUGCAAUGAUUCGUUUCCAAACCUCAAGUUAAAUUCACAGAUUAACAAGUUUUGGACUGAAAAGUAACAAAGAAACCACUAGAUGUAAUGUUUUUGGGAUUUUCAGUUAACUAUAGCAAAUCCGGCAUAGAAAUCUGAACUAACUAAAGAAACAGACAGAUUAACUGAAGAAAAACGACACUAGCAGAGAUGAUUUAGCAGUGACAAAGAUAGGGUUUAGACAAGCAUGUUGUUUUGGAAAAGGAGACAAAUAAGAGAGGAUUUAGAGUAGAUUGACAGCAAUGGGUUUGAGACAAGGGAAGGGUUUCAGAUCAGGAAGAAAUAGCACAGCAAGUCACAACUAGAUCAAACAACAACAGCUAACUAAAGUACAAGAACAUAACAUGACAGGAAAACCGAUCACAGAUCAAACACAGCAAAAUAAAGAUUCUUCUCACGACAGAAUUGAAUUGUAGACAAGGUUAAGCAUGUGAAUUCAGCGGCAAGUUACAAAAUCUCAACAAUAACAAGCAAGAACAGACGAUGAACUAGAAGAGAAAGUGGGUCAGGGCAGAGUUUACUGGAGAAUUUUUGCUUCAAUUGAGGUGCUAAGGACAAGGAAAGACCGCUCUGCCUAACUAUACUAUGAACUCGCAAAUGAAGCUUAUUAAUCUCCAUGAACAUCCCUGGAUCUCGCCAUCUUCUUCUCCCUUCUUCCUCCUUCCCCCAGUUUCUGGAUCUCAACUACUCCCUCCUCCUUGCUUGUGUGUGUGACGCAGAGAAGCUUCUGUCUUUUUAUGCUCUCCUUCUCUUCUCUUCCUAAGCUCCCAACGUCAUAUUUUGAAUUAUGCACCCAGCCCCUUACUUUAGCAAACUUGACACCGAAGAAGAUUCCUUUUUUGGCCAGCUUUUAGCUUGAUCAUCCCUUCUCCUUUUUCCUUUGUUUGCUUUUGCUUUUCUACUCCAUGCUUCUCUGCACCUUUUCUUCAUGAUGUAGUAGGAAAUAGUAUUUUGGUGAUUUUUCGCACAUUUUCUGCAAAAAGAACACGCAGUGUUGUAAAAUGACAAGUUUGGCCUUUUUGAUAGAAUUAAUUCUAAUUCAAGUGAUUCAAAUUCAAGUAGAUCAGCACCAAAUAUUUUUGAAAUUUAUUUAAGAAUAGGAACUGAUCAAAGAAUUUUUUAGUACAGGAUGGUUCACAUAUGUUUCUUCAUUCUCUCUCGAUUAUAAUGUAUGGUUUUGGCCAUGCAGUCUUUUGCCGACCAAGUUUCAUAUGCCUUCCCCGUUCAUCCCGUCUUCAUAAGAACCGUGUGAUCGAUUACCCGUGGUGUUGGAGCAAUCACUGCACCGGCAACGGAACAAGUGGUCCUCCUCGCCGUUCCUAACGGUGUUGCACAGGUAGUAGAAAGCAAACGUGCAGUGAUGAUGUUCAGGGGACUGAUGAUGUUGCCGCUGCUCCACCUAGAGAGCCCAUGACGUGGGGGCGGCAGGCUGCAUCCGGCAGUUUUUAAUUACCUCGUAACCACGUAACCAAAAUGUGGAAGGAAGUGGCUGCACACACCUGUCCACUCGUCGUGUACAUUCCUGCCGUCCGCUCAUCCUGCCUUUUUUCUUUUCUUUGCGUUGCCCUUCUUCGAGAAAAGAAAAGCCGGUCGCUUCUUUACAGCCCCACUAAAUCCUGUGCUUCCCUGGCCCUGCUGCACAACAAGUUGCACCAGAUCUCACAACAGACCACGUGUCGGUCGGCCUGGACGUCGCGAUUCGCGAACGAACCCGCAAACGCCACCAAAUGUCACGUCGGCCUCUUAUCUCGCGCGCCGGCGCGGCCGACCCACACCAACCCACCACUCGCCGGCCCGGGCUAGCUCCGACCCAUCCCGUCGUCACCGCGUCCGCGGACUUCCUAGCUUUUAAUAAACGCCGCCACAUGCUACGCCGCGAACUCAUUGCAUUCCGCUCUCGUCUCGCCCCCAUGUCGCCGCCGCCGCCGCGCCGCAUCCUGGUCCUCUUCGCAGCCCUCGUGUGCGCCGCCGUCUCUGCCCAUGGCCGACUCCUCAGCCCAGACGGGCUCCCGGGGAGCGCCUCCUCCGACGCAGCGCUCCGCCUCCCAUCGGAGCAGCAGCAGCAGCAGCCGGCGCCGCUGCGGGCGGCCGGGGAGGAGGGGUGCGAGAUGACGUACGGGUUCCUCCCGUGCACGACCACGGCGGGGGGGAACCUCUUCCUCGCCCUGGCCUACGGCUUCCUCAUGUUCAAGGCCGCCACCUACCUCUCCGCCGGCAGCGAGCUGCUGCUCGAGAUCCUCGGCCCCGGGAUCGUCGGCGGCCUCUUCCUCCCCAUCCUCGGCGCGCUCCCCGACGCCCUGCUGAUCCUCGGUCGGUCCCUUUUCCUUUCCCUCCCUUCUUUUCCCCCUGUUGAUCGUCAUGACUGAUAAUCACUCCUCUUAGUUUUCCGAUCGUCGUUUUGCCUUUGGUACUUGUACUUAGUAAUGCAUUUGUUUAUGUACGAUUUCUCGCGAUAUUUUGCAGUUGAAUGGUUAAACUUCUUAUCAUUUUAAACAGAGCAGCUAAGCUCUCUAUACUUCACGGACCGAGGAUAGGUUGAUUAUCUGAUGAUAUAAUAUUGUUCACCUUUGGACGGAUUCGCGUGAAAAAUGUUUACUGUCCUGCUUGAAUUUAUUAAUUAUGAUGGUGACGUUACAUAUCGAAUUAAGUUUUAUUCGUCCUACAUAUAAGCUUUUGUUAGUGCUCGAUGAUGCCUGUUUUUGUUGGAGAAAUCGUGUGAAGCUGCAACAGUUAGAUGGAUAGUUUUUUUUUCGAGGACAGUUAGAUGAAUAGUAUAGUAGACUGGACUCGUAUAGGUACAUAGUACAAAGUGAUGAUCCCCCUUUUUAUGAAGGAAUGGUUGCACUCUUGCGCGCAUAUGCUUAUGACAUGAUGGUCAAUUGAUAUUCCCUUGAGGUUUCAGUGUCAUAACUGCCUAAAUCUACCAAGGCAAUACCAUUACUACGUAAUAACUAAUUUUUGUGUUUCGUGUUUUCUACCUGAUUUCAUAUUUCACAGUGCCUUUAAUUGUCGUAUGGAUUUAUAUACUUGUAUUUACGUGCAAAAUGCAUGACGUUUCUGCUUUUUUGCAUUUCAGUUUCUGGCAUCUCUGGUACUAAGGAGGUUGCUCAAAGUCAGGUUUUGAUUGGAAUGGGCUUGCUUGCGGGGUCGACAGUCAUGCUUUUAACCGUACUCUGGGGAUCUUGUGUUGUUGUUGGUAAAUGUGACCUGACAGAGGAUUCAACUCCAAUUGAUUCCCGUGAUACGAAACGCUUCAGUCUUUUUGGUAUGUUGGUAAUCACUAUUAUUUCUCAAAUUCCAAUCUGGGGUCUUACCAGUGGAAAUUGCAUUAAGUUUAGCUGACAUCUUCUUGACUUGCAAAACAAACUGUUGAUCUUACCUGCCUGCUAGUAGUUUCAUAUACUUAACUACAAUGUGAUGCUUCACAUCACUAAAGUAAGUUUAGAAGUGGCUCUUUAUAAAAAAAAAGAUAGUGGCUGCAGGUUUUCAGUUUGGAUUCAAGGGUUUUAGAUAAAGAAUAGGCUUCAAGAAACUCAAAGGCAUUUACCGAGUCACGCAGCCUACAAAAUUAUGCUUUUCACAACAGAAACAUGUUUCUACAUGCUAUGAGCAACCGAGCAUCAUGGCUGCUAGUUAUUAUCUUCUUUGGCAUAAUCUAAUUUACAUGGUUUCUACUGGUACAAAAAUGAUGCAUUAUAUCGUUCUAAUAUUUUACUCAAGAACAUCUCUAUUGUUGCAGGCUCUGGUGUUUCCACUGAUCUGCAGACCAGCUAUGCAGCAAGAAUCAUGGCGAUAUCUGUUCUUCCCUUCAUUGUUGUUCAGAUACCGAAAAUUCUGAGGCUCCAUUCUGGUCAACGUUUAACUAUCCUGCUUGGGUUUAUUGUUGCGGUGCUACUUCUGAUUACUUAUUGCCUAUAUCAGGUAUUGUACUGACUUCAGGGAAUUUCCUUAUUAUAAUAAACAUUUCCCUCUAGCUUAGAAUUGUAAAUUUUGUCUGAAAAGAUAUGAAUUAUUUGCAUCAAGACACUGUGAAUAAAAUAUUGAAGACCGUGAAUCUGAAUAACAAAUGAUACCUCUUUAUCAUCCAUAUGACCUUUUCUAGUCACUUCCAUUUUGGUAAACGAACUGAAAUCUGGUUACACAUGUUCAUUUACGAGCUGCUAAUUUUCCUAGGGACUGUUGCAAUUACUCGUAGUUGAUUACAAUCAUAUUUUGAUCUAAAUUGCUCCAUUAAACAAUACUCGCAUCUUUCACAAACAGAUCUUUCAGCCAUGGAUCCAGAGGAGAAAGUUAGAGUAUUCAAGACUAAAGCAUGUAAUGUCUGGACUUCUGAGGCACGCCCAGAAGCAUGCUUUUGGUCGCCUUUUUCAUGAUGAUGGAACACCAAAUGUUCCUGUGAUAGAGAAGUAUGCCACUGGCCCACAUUGUGCCGCUUACCUACACUUGAUAAAAGAAAUUCUUUUAAAUGAUGCCGUUAAAAUUUGCAGGUUAUUUCACAAAAUUGAUCUGGACAAUGAUGGAAGGAUAGAACGUGGUGAAAUACAAGCUUUCAUAGUUGGCGUUCAGUUUGAAGAUAUUGACUUGGAUAGUAACCUGGCUGCAGACCAAGUCAUGGCUGACUUUGAUAGAUCACAGAAUAGUUUCAUCGAAAAGGGGGAAUUUGUUGAUGGGGUCUUGAGAUGGCUGGAAGAAGCUAAGCGUGCUGUUGUUGCUUCUGGUGCCUACUCAAAAAAGUUUAUGGAAGAUUUUCAUGCCGUAAGUUUGUAAUUACAUGUUUGUGCAGAUAUUUUAUCCAUCAAGAUAAAUCACAUCAUCCUAGUAUAAUUUUGCAGACGGCAAGGGAUGAACAUGCUGCACUGCUUAACAAGGAUGAAGAGGAUGGUGAAGCUAUUGAAAAUCGAACCUGGACCUGCUUUAAGGCCGUUUUACUUUUGCUUCUGGGAGCUGCAAUGGCUGCAGCAUUUGCAGAUCCACUUGUUGAUGCCGUGCACAAUUUUUCAAGUGCUACAAGUAUACCUUCUUUUUUCAUUUCCUUCAUUGCGAUGCCUUUGGCUACUAAUUCCAGUGAGGCUGUCUCAGCAAUAAUCUUUGCUAGCCGAAAGAAGCAGCGCACUUUGUCUCUGACAUUCUCUGAGGUAUGUCUGUUGGAUACCUUAUGUUUAGUGUUGACUAUUGGUGCAGUCAGAUAAGUCACCUUCAUUGUGAUUGAUUGCUUAGUCUCAAGCAUUUCCCUCUUUCCUCUAAAACGUGUUACUCUUUGGCUCUCCUACAUUGUUAACCUAUUUAUUUCAUAAAUUAUAUAUUUAUUAGAUAUUUCAAGGUACUUUUGGAAGAAUUUAAAACAAUGUUUUCAAAGAAGCUAAAUUUCUUCAGAUUGCGGACUUAGGCUUCGUUGAUGUUUCGUUCUAUAGUGAAUUCAGUUUAAUUAAUCGAUUGGCUAGUUCCUCCUAGGCCUAGCCAUCCAUUCAUUUGAUAUACUUGUUUAUUGCAGCCAUUCAUAGAUUCAUCAAGCUGUUUAGCUACCUUCUUUUUUCUUCAUCAAGCUGCAAACAAAUAUUUACUAUGUUUGAAACGUCUGAGAGGAAAGUCAUUGGGUUCAGAUUUUAUCCAACUAAAGGACCUUUCUUGUGAACUAAGCCUUACUCGUUAACACAAAAGGACUGGAUUGAUGGUAUUACCAUUUUGAGCUCCAAGUUGGUUGAAUUUAAUUUACUAAAAUAUGAUUGGAAAAUGUGCUUCAAAUAAUUGAAAUGCAAAUUUGGUUGAUUUGACUAAUUUCUGUCAUUGGUUAGUAUAAGCGGGUACCAGCUUUCCGCAGUCGAACAUGCAUAAUGUCGCUUGUUAGGUAGUACCUUACAGUUUGCUGUUGCACCUCUUAAUCUCAUGGGAUCCCCAAUCUAAUUAUGCCUCAGUUUCUGCAGUCAUACAAAAAAACGAGAGAGAAUUUCAUGUGAUGCCAUCAUCUUUAACUGCAGGUCUACGGUGGAGUGACCAUGAACAACACGCUCUGCCUUGCCGUGUUCUUGGCUCUCGUGUACUUGAGAGGCUUAACCUGGGACUUCUCGUCGGAGGUCCUGGUCAUCUUCCUCGUGUGCAUCAUAAUGGGUCUCUUCACCAGCUUCCGGACCAAGUUCCCGCUCUGGACGUGCUUCGUCGCCUUCCUUCUGUAUCCCUUGUCGCUGCUCAUGGUCUACAUCCUUGACUACAAGUUUGGCUGGUCGUAGUCAGCCUGACCUCAGUAGUGAUUAGUGAGGAUACGUCUGAUGUAGAUGGGAGAAAUGUAGGCAUGAACCACUUGUCUGCUGCUUGUAAACCUCAUCGGGUAUCAGUGUUAGCUGGGAUCGAUGGAUUGCUGGCUUCGUACAGCGUGACAAAAUGCAUACUUCGGACAGUCACUAAUAAGCUAAGAUGGACUCUGUAAUACGACAUAUUUAUGUUCGGAACACCAGAAACGGUGUCACUUACUCACUUCUCCGGUCUAAGAUAAUCCUUGUGCAUAUAUUUGGCAACAAUUACAAUCGCUUUUUACACAGCAGAACUGACUAAUGAAUUGCUGACCUAGAGAAUUAGCAGACGAUCAGACGAUCGGCUUACCAUCCAAUGAGUCAUAGCUCAAACGGAAGUACGGGGGCAAUCUUAUCAGAAUACUCUCUCCGUCCAAAAAUGCUAUCGCCUUGCUUUUUCGGCCCGGUUACAUUACAGAUGCAUCAGCCUGUUUGGUAGCCCUCAGAAUACUCUCUCCGUCCAAAAAUGCUAUCGCCUUGCUUUUUCGGCCCGGUUACAUUACAGGUGCAUCAGCCUGUUUGGUAGCCCUCAUUCAUUUUAUUUGGUAGAAAUGAAUUGAAAUCAAUUUUUUUAUAGGAUUCCAUUAGGUUGAAACUGAAUUCUGAAUUAAAAAAUCAUGUUUGUGUGUCACAUGGAUUUGUUGAAUGGGAGACAAUUCCACAUAAAUGACAGCAUUUAAGAAAUGAUAACUUCUAGAGAGAAGUGGGGGGUUAAUCUGUAGUGUGAUUCCAAGAAAUUUUAGAUUAAAAUCCUGUAACAAAUUUUGCGCCAGCCAAACAAGUUGAUUUCUGAAAUUCAAAAUAAAUUUGAGCAUUCUAGACCCAAAUAAUGAGUGCCAAAGGAGCUUACAGGUGUAUUUUUUUUAGCUCCUUUAUUUCCCCUUCCAUACAGGAAAACACAGAUGGUUUAUUGCACGGGGAAAACUUAAGGGACCAUAGCGCAUAUGAGGCCACAGCAAUUUUCUACUCUAAAUCAAUGACGAUAGGUUGGAAAUCAAUAACAGCUCGUUUGGCACCCAUCAUUUCGGUUCAGUAUCCUAGAAUUCAUUUUAGAUUCCAGAAACCAACUUCUUGUUGGCUGGCGCAAAAUUGGAUAGAAAUUUGAUUCAAAAUUCCAUAGAACCACACCAUAACUAAGCCUAAUUUCUCUCAAAAAGCCAUUAUUUUUCCGAAACUGUCUCUCUCUAGAAAUUCAUGUAGCAAAUGAACAUGUUUUUUGAAUUUGGAAUUCAAAUUUUACCAAAUGAAAUCCUAUCAAAAGUUGGAUUUCAUUUCAUUUCUAUCAAAUGAAAUGAAAGGAGGAAUGCCAAACGAGCUUAAGAGAAACCCUACGGGCGCGGAAGACCGGUAAUGAAUCGAAUCAACAAUGUACGAAUAUUCAAUUGGUAGGAGUACACAAUUAAUAUACACCCUCCGUCCAACAAAAGAUGUCUCGACUUUCACUAAAUUUAAAUGCAUCUAUACACUAAGUCAUUUCUAGAUACAUUCAAAUUUUGAUAAAUUUGAGACAUCUUUUAUUGGACAGAGGGAGUACAGACAUAACAUGACACGGAUCUAUCUACUGAUUUAUCGAUGCACGUCUGCAACGAUGAGCUGCCCGAAAUACCUCCAAACAGAACAGAGCAACACUACUCUCGUCGCUCUUAAUAUUCUGAUGUGUUUAAUCCCUGUAGUAAUCUAAAUAGCACGCACUCCGUAGCUUACAAUGUGGCAAACCUGCAAACCAAGAGAAGAUGCAGGACACAUUGCAUUGAUCGACAAAAGCAAUCAACCUUCUCAAAAUGUUUGCAACUUUCGUAAAAAAUGAAAUUGCUUGCAUUUACAGUUUUCAACACUAUUCCUAGCAGCACAUCACAACUUCACAAGUAGUCGACGUUGAGCACCACCUGAUCCGGUGGCCGUUCCGGCGGCGGAGGGGGGAGCAGCUGGAGCACGCUGCAGCGGCAAACCGGGCACGUCGCGUGGUCGCGCAGCCACUGGUCGAUGCACUCGGUGUGGAACAUGUGCAGGCACGCCGGCAUCCGCCGCACCGCGUCCCCUUUCUCCACCUCGCCGAGGCACACCGCGCAAUCGGCGCCAUCGACGCCUCCCCUGUGCACGUAGCUCGGUAUGCGGUCCGCGGCGAGAGCGGCCCGCAGCUCGUCGCGGGUCGUCAUCAUCCUCCUCACCUCCCGCACCGGGCGCGGGAGCUCCUGCAACGACGACGACGAGGACGACGACGCCACCGUCCGUGGCGCCGGAGUCUCGCUGCCGUGCUGCUCGCGUGGUGCCCCCGUGGACGGUGCCGGUGCUGACGAGGACAGCCAGCGUGGCCAGGGCGGGCGCUUGAGGUCGGCGUAGAAGCUGCAGCAGAGGACGAGGCUGACGGUGGUGCAGAAGGUGGCGAAGAUGGCGAACAUGAUGGCGUGGCCGGAGUAGGGCCGCUUAGCCUUGAGGAGGUGCACGACGGCGACCGGCAUGGUCACGAACCCGACGGCGAAGAUGGCGUGCGCCACCACGAAGUCGCUGCUCCAGUGGUAGCAACUGUCGCGCCUCCGCUGCAGGGCGGGCAUCUGUGUGGGCUCCUCCGUUCUUGAACUCUCUCUACCUGGGAUGUGGAUUUGCCUUUGCGUGGGGAACGAGCGCCGGGGAAAAUUACUCAGCUGCGGGAAUCGAAAAUAUGUACGGAGUACAGUACUUGUCAGUAAGCUGCUUGGACAUCUCAGCGGUCGUCAUUGUAAUGUGCGCGGCACAUAGCUGGGAGAUGAAAACGAUGAGCUUACGCGUGUUAAUUAGUGGCAAUUUCAAGUUGGAUCAGGUGUUGUCAUUGGUGUCGUAUGUAUGCGACCGCGAUGCAUGCUGUAGUUUGUCCUUGUCACAUGGGUUAGUGGACUACUUUAGGAUUGUCCGAGGUUUCAUUUCACUGUUUCUGCUAGAGCGGUUGCUUUACAUCAUCCAUCGAUUUAGUCCAUGCUGAAUGAUGUGACUACAUAUGCUGUUUUUUCCUCUCCGUCUCUGAUUUAUUUGUCUUUUUAUUUUUUUUGAAGGAUGCCAUGUCUGUUAGAUCUGUUGUAAGGGAUAGAACUGACUUAGAAUCAAUUCUUUCUGAACAUGUACAAUGUAAGGUGUUUAAUCAAAAUAAACAAGAUUUUGAGUUUUGUCUAAGCACUCGUGCCUGUGUUCUAUUGGAUAGGUAAUUAAUUAGACACCUCUGAUAUAAAAAUAAGCAAUGGUGUUUAAAAGUAAACCAGUUUAUUUUUUUUAUUUUUUGAUGAAACAACCAUCAGCGGGUUAUUUAUUGCCAAAGGACGAUCGAAAAAGAAUUUCGACCACCGAAAAAGUGGCCCCGUUUAUAAGGGAAACUGGACCGAAAAACCGAACAGAGAAAAAACAUAGAAAAAAGAGAACACUAGAGGUUGGAGGUAGGGUUCAGAGGGUCUAGAGAAAAACCAGUUUAAUUUUGAACACCACCUUAAGAACUUUGCAUUCUGCAUGUUCUUAGGCUCCAAAUUCUUCAAAAACGGUUUACCGUUCUCUAUUCAUAGAGAUCAUAGUGAGAAAACCCUCAUAAAACCAUGUUGGUUUAAUCCCGUCCCUGUCUUAAUCCAAGGAGAAUAGAAGGGAUUGGAAGAAUUCUAGUUCAUUUUCUUUUAAAUCCUUUCCGACAUAUCUAUAAACUCUAUAAAGUUGAACUCCACUAAGUUAAUUUAGCAAGAUGCACAUGCAGACUAUCCACGUCACCACCAUGCUCAGCCUGGGCGUAACAUGGGCAAAAUAAAAAAUAAAAAAACAAAUCUCGUUCGGUUCCCUCUCCUUGCUCAAUCUGCUCGACUUGGGAAAAGAGAAAAGAGAAUCCCAUUCCUUUCCCUCGCUCGAUCUGCGCCAACAAGCGCCGGCGAAUCGGAGCGCCACUCUCCUCCGGCUCUUGCUCCCUAGCGCCCGAGGUCCCACCACCCCCUGCUCCCUCGCCCAUCCUGCCUCACCGCUCCAGGCUCCUAGCCCCUGGAAAUCGCAGCCGCUCGAUCUCCGACCACCGGCGUGGCUGCCUUCCUAUGGACGGUGGAACUGAGCUGCCAUGUCAUCGACGUCUCUUCGAGAUCCAGCCGCCACCUGCUCCCCAAGUGCACCGAUACUACAAGAGAAUCCUACAUUGCCGGCGGCCCGAAGCCUCCGGCAAAGGCCGUCGGCACGAAGGCAUACCAGCAAAGGCUUCUUUGCCGGCGGCCUUUUUACGGGCCCUUUGGUAAAUCCUUUGCCGGAGGCUUUUUGCGGCUCUCGGCAAAGAAAAGUAGCUAACGGAACGAAACGGCACAUGAUGGCUUUGCCGGCGGCCAGCCUUCGCAAAGAAAAAAAACAUAAUUAAAAAAUAAAAAGUAAUUUAUUUGCCGUAGACUGCAGCCCUCGGCAAAGAAAGUAAAAAGUAAUUAAAAAAAGCAACACCGCCGGUGCUGCUGCAGGUCGCCGCUGCUCCUCCUCGCCACUGCUCUCGCGCUGCUGCUGCUGCUACUCGCUGCUGCCCCUCGCUGCUGUAGGCCGCCGCCGUUACUCCUCGCGCCGCCGGUGCUGCUCCUCGCCGCUGCUCUUGCGCUGCUGCUGCUCCUCUCUGCUGCUGCUGCUUCAUGCCCCGCCGCCGCCUCUCCUCCUCGCUGCUGCCGCCCCGCCACUGCCUCUGCAACCCCGCCGCGGACGCUGCUGCCGCCCCGCCGCCGCCGCUGCCUCCACCCGGCUGCUGCUGCUGUUGGAGAGAGGGGAGGAGCCGCGCAGGGGAGGAGGAGGUGCGCGGGGAGCCGCGCAGGUCACCGGCACUCGGCCGCGUGGGGAAGAGGCGGCGUGCACGCUGCUGCCCGCCUGCAUAGGAGCCAACGGAGAGGGAGAAGGAGAGAGCUCGUGGGGGAGAGAGAUGAUAGAGAGAUAGGGCCAUAGGGGGAGAUAAGAGAGAAAGAGAAAAAGAGACGUGGCUGGAGGAGAGAUCGGGAGAGAUAAGAGAUUGAGAGAAAAAAGAGAUCGGGGGAGAUAAACGAUAUCGAUCCGUGGCGCGGUCACGUGGAUCGGUGACGUGGCCGAGACUAGGCUGCCGGCAAAGAGUUUCAGGGGCUUUUUGGUUGACUACCUGAGCAGUGUGUCUGAGAAAAAUUCGUGCCUGCCACUAGCCUGAGAUUUUACUGUAUUGCGCCUAUCCAGGCAUAUUUGAGAAACUGUGUUCGGUUGGUGGCCCUGAGAAAUUAAUAAAGGUAGUACAUAUGCAUGGCAUUGGGUAGAGAGAAAGUAGAUCAAACAAUUAAAGAAUCAAGUGCUUAUGCCUAAGCUCAGGCCUCCUAUUUUGGUGGCCUGAUUCAGGGUAAUUGCAUGCGUGUGGGCUCAGGUCAGGCAAGGGAAAAAAGAGUCAGGUAAGCAACCAACCAAGACUCAGGCUUUACUCAGGUCAGACAAAUUUGUCUCAUGGUGGCAACCAAACAGCCUCUCAGCCUUAUUUCUUUUCUUUUUCUUUUGCAUGUAUAAAAUUCGUAAGACUUGACCCAUUUAGUUAUUUAUAUUAGUCUGUAAUUUUUAUCCCAAGUUUGCAUACCCAUAGCAUGACACCAUGCAAAAAAUUGUCAAUUAUUGAUAAAGUCUUAGUAUUAUUUCAUUUUUUCCUAUUAAACGGCUCUAGAAAAUGAUAAGUAAUUAUUUUUACAUAUGAGGUGUUGACUUUAAUUCAUAUUACUCAUCACUGAUGCUAAGUGAAAUCACGGUAAAAAAAAUCAACUCACAAACCGUACAAAUUAUUGCGAAACUUGGUUCGGGACUUGAAUUAGAAGGUUCAUUCUCGAGAUCGUUCAAUUUGUGAAGAAUGUACCCUUUCACUUUUGUGUAUUGAUUUGAAAUUUUUAUCCAAACCUUAUAUACCCAGAAUAUGACUCCAUGACAAAAAAUUGCUAAUAUUUGACAAAGUUUUAGUAUUAUUGAAUUUUUUUUCUCUAAAACGGCUCUAAAUACUGAUAAAUAAUUAUGUUUACAUAAAAGUUUGUGAUUUUAAUUCACAUUACUCAUCAUUAACAGUAUAUGAACCAAUAGUGAAAGAAUCAACUCAAAAAGUGAAAACAAUAUUGCAAACCUUGUUCAGGACUCAAUUUGGAUGUUUGAGCGCUAAGUUCAGAAACUUAUACGAAGAUGUUGCAAUUUGUGAAGCAUGCACCAUUUUGAUUUUGCGUAUGGACCUGUAGUUUUUAUCCCAAGUUUAUAUACCCAUAAAACGACACCAAGCCAAAAUGUGUUCUUUUUUGACAAUGUCUUAGUAUUAUUUCAUUUUUUUUCCUAUUAAACGGCUCUACAAAAUGAUAAGUAACUAUUUUUACAUAAAAUGUGGCCAUUUCAAUUCAUAUAAGUAAUCAUUAAUGACAAAUGUAAGCACAGUAAAAGUUUCGACUAAAAAAUGAGUCAAAUUAAUGCGAUGCCUUGUUCGGGAAUCAAAUGUCGAGGUUCACUCUCGACAUCGUGUAUUUUGUAAAGUAUGUACCAUUUUAGUUUUGUUUAUUGACUUAAAAAAUUUAUCCCAAUGUUAUACACCUAUAACAUGGUACCAUGCAAAAAAUUGUGAAAUUUUGGCAAAGUUGUAGUAUUUUUUUUUCAUUCUUCCCUAUUAAAAGGCCGUAGAAAAUGAUAAAUAAAUAUUUUUACAUAAAAAGUUAUCAUUUUAAUUCACAUUUCUUUUCAUCAAUGCCAAAUGAAAUUACAAUAAAAAUUGGAACUCAAAAAGUGGUGGUUUAAAUCAUAAUUUGAAAGAAGAGAGAAAUGAACACAAACAGGAAAAAAACAGACAAAACUCUUUGCGGGAGGCCUUUUUUGCCCGGCCUUCGGCAAAGAGGCCUCCCGUCACGGUGUCGUUAGCUUCAGCGGCAAGUCCACGUGAUCACCUUCUUUGCCGGGGGCUUUUGCUUUGCCGGAGGCCUUUUAUAGUCUUUGUCGGAGGCUUUUCUUUGCCGGAAGACUCAUCCGGGAACAGGUGAUGCCGGCCCACGCCUGGGGGCAACUGUCGCACCAGUGGCACGUGGGGUACUACCGCUGCGCGACGCGUGGGCCCUGUCCCCGAGUACCCGGGAGGGUUUCGUCCCGGGCAGCAGCCACGAGCAAGCCGGCAAGCUACCAACUCGGAAGGGCUAGUGGGGCUUCGGGGAGUAUUCCCGCCUGGGCACCUCCCGGGAAGCCGCUUCCCGGGAGGGGGGUUCCUGGUGCGUUGGACCUGGGCGCUUCCCGGGGAGCGACUUGCCGGGAGAAGGGGUUCCCGGACGCAGGCUCUCGCCUCAAGGGUGGGGCCCAGCAAGCAGAGCAACAGCUACACGCGGACGCGUGGCGGGCGUCGGGCGCGCGGCCUCGCCAGGGCGAGGAGUGAGGCGCACGGCUCAUUAAAUGAGCCGACAGGAGAGCGUUACCCGUCCAAAUCAGGUGAACAGUGGCUGUCCAAUCCUACCCUAGGGUUUUAGACCGCUAGCGGCGGAGGUGGCGCCCAUGCGUGCCACCAGCUCACCGGGAGGGAGUUGUAUGCCUCCCCGUUCGACACUUGUAAUGCAUGCGCCCCGGCACCUGUGGCAUCCCCUUGAUUAUAAAAGGAGGACCCCCGCCGGCGGUCAAAGGGUUCCACAUCUUUCUGGGGUUCAGCCAGUUCAGUCGGUUCGCUAGGUCCUUCCCUCUAGCUCGUUGGUUUGUCGGCAGAGCCAACUCGUAGUGCACACAAGCAGUGGCCUGAAGUAGAAAGUAGUAUUUAGCAAGAAAGGAGAGAGUGCCCGGGGACCCACCCCUGGCAAGGUGUAAACACUUGAUCCAUAAUCAAUACUAGAUCAGACAGGCAUGACGUAGGGUUUUACACCUCCGGGUGGCCCGAACCUGGGUAAAAACGUGCGUGCAUGCGUUCUUGGUUUGUGCGCACCUCAGGUACAUCACUUCGCCGGUCGUGAAGGACCAUCGGCCACGCCGGCGAUCGCCGGAGCGAUCCCCGAUGCCCCUGCCAAACCUAAAAGGGGGCCGCGACCGCACGCUCCCGGUGUCGGAGCCCCGCGCGACGACAGCGAAGAUGUCAGUUGUAUGUAACUUUAUUCGGUCCUAACUAGUUAAGUUUCAAAACAUAUGCACAAUGUGGAUACUCGGGAGACUGAAUUCUGGAUGCUAGAGACGGUUGGUUUCAUUGCAAUAAAAUGGAGCCGGGGAGGGGGUCCCUGUUCAUCUAAAAAUGUAUAUGCAUGCACAAUGUGCAGGGUAAUGCGAUUUCUAUUUGGCGACAUAAAUAUACGACAUGUACGUGUGUGUUCAGAGUAAAUUGCACAAAGACACAUAUAUAGCGGCUCUUGUAACAAAAAACCACGAACCCAAGGGUUUUUAACAGAUACCCACUAAUCAUACGCUAACAAGUAACAAAAAACCCGAAAUGGCUGGUUUGCCCAAGUUAACUGCCCGUGGCCCACAUGUCAUACAAAGCAUCCUAAUUACUAGAUCAAGUGCAAGGAAACGGCUCGAGCCGACAUAUGAGCCGGCCCAGGCUAUCCCCUUCAGGGUGGCUUCUCUCAGGCAUUACCUGUCGUCUUCUUCCUCCUCCUCCUUGAUCCAUUGCCUGCUUCUUCACCGGCGAGCAUGACCGCGACGCCGGCGGUGAUCGGCCUGAGUUCUUCCGCCCCUCCGCCGCCACCGCUCCAUCCACCAGCCUCGCAUCAGCAGCCGCAGCCCCAUCCGGCCGCUUCCCAAUCCCAUCAGCAACCACAACCCCAUCCAGCCGCCUCGCAUCAGAAGCCACAUCAGCCCCAUCCAGCUGCCUCGCAUCAGCAGAAACAGCAGCCCCAUCCGCCAUCCUCGCAUCAGCAACGGCCCACGAUUUGCUUCAACACGCGCUGCAAGGACCCCAAAUCGGAAGGCCCACACCACCGCGGCUGGCGCCUGCGCUCCGGCGACUUCAGCGAGCUCUGCGACCGAUGCUAGUACGUACGGUAACUCCUUAAUUAACUCCCCCCCUUCGCCCCGCUCGAUUCGUGCUUGGGCUCCUCUUCUUCUUCCUCCUCCUCCUCCUCCUCCUCCUCCUCCUCCUCCUCCUCGCUGCAGUUCGGGCCUUCGGGUCCCCAGCCGUGCUUCGGGGCAUUGGCGCGGGAGAGGCGGAUGAGCGGGCGGAGGCUGGGGCGGUCUAGCUCCUCCAAGGCGAAGAGCGGCGGCGGCGCGCACCUGGGCGUCGUGAGCCCCGUGCGGAUGCAGGAUCUAACUCCGAUGGGGAUGCAGGAUCUAACUCCGAUGGGGCUCCGUCAGCAUGGAGCUGUGCACACACGGGCUCAAGCUUCGGCCGCCUCCACGGCUCCUCGGCCGCCGUCGGGGGCCUCUACAGGGAGAGAGGGAGGGAGGAGGCGAGGCAGGCGGCGGGCGCGGUCGGCAUGAGAAGAGCCAACAACGAUGGGAAGAGCCAGAUGCACUCGCAACCGGAGCUGGUGAAAAAGAACCUGGAGUGAGAAGAGUGAGAGAAUGGAGAGAGAGAGGGGGGGGGGAGCUGCCGGGAAUAAGCCGGCUUGAGCGGCCGGAAAUGAGCUGUGAGGCAAAGAACUGGUUUCUGUGUAUCACAUGCGGGCCAUGAAGGUUAAUUAGUCUUAACCGGUCACUUUCAGAUUUUUUGUUAUUCAUUAGUCUUCAUGUCGUGGGUAUCAGUUAAAAAAACCUGGAUUCGUGGUUUUCUGUUACAAGAGCCGCUACGUAUGUGUUUCUCUGCAAUUUACACUGUGUGUUCACAUUCAUGAAUACGGCACGAGCAAAUCUGACAUAAGCUUAGUCGCAUAUUUAGACCAACAUCGACUUAUGCUUAACGGCUACUUGUUGCACGUCGCAAAUUAAGACAAGGCACGUGGCCACUACCUAGAUUGUUUACCAAGAACUUUCGGUUUCUAGAUAGCCAAUUGAGUUCUUUUAUUAUGCCGGAUGAGAAAUAUGAAACAAGUAUGUACUGUAGCAUAUCCGGCACAAUCUUUAUUUAUGGAAGCUGCCUCUGGGAUCGGUUGAUUAAGGAUUGAAGCUUUCUUAUACUGUAAGUCAAGCAAUACAGAAAACAUAAAUAAGGAAUGCCCCAACGGGGUAAUCAUGUGGCAAAUACUCCUGUCUUUGACUUAGUGAACCCAUCGUAUUAUCGGAUUAUCAGUACACUCUAUAUAUGUAGAGCUCGAUCGAUUCAAAGCAGCAGCAGCACUGCAUCGUCGGAAGACGAAGCAAAUUAAGAUCAAUGGCUCUGUCUCGAAGCUCAAAGCUAGCACUUUCCUUCAUCUUCUUCUCAUGCUUCUCUCCCGUGAUCCCUUCCCUAGCUUCCUCCGAUGACUUCCUCCAAUGCCUCUCGGAGACCAUGCCAAACAACCUCGUCUUCACCCAGAGCUCGCCUUCCUUCACAUCCAUCCUGGUCUCCUCCAUCCGCAACCCCAAAUUCUUCACGCCGACCACGGUGAGGCCGCUCUGCAUCGUCACGCCGACGAACGCCUCCCACGUCCAGGCCGCCGUCAUCUGCGGCCGCCGGCACGGCGUGCGCCUGCGCGUGCGCAGCGGCGGGCACGACUACGAGGGCCUCUCCUACAGGUCAGAACGAGCCGAAGAGGUGUUCGCCGUGGUGGACCUCGCCAGCCUCCGCUCAGUCAGCAUCGACGCGGCCACGGACACCGCGUGGGUGGACUCCGGCGCCACGAUCGGCGAACUGUACUACGCCAUCGCCAAGGCGAGCGGCGACCGGCUGGCGUUCCCGGCGGGCCUGUGCCCGACGAUCGGCGUGGGCGGGCAUCUCAGCGGCGGCGGCAUGGGCAUGCUUCUGCGCAAGUACGGGCUCGCCAUUGACAACGUCAUCGACGCCAAAAUGGUCGACGCCGAGGGCAGGAUCCUCGACAAAUCCUCCAUGGGGAGCGACGUCUUCUGGGCGAUCCGGGGCGGCGGCGUCGGCGGGAGCUUCGGGAUCGUGCUUUCAUGGCAGGUGAAGCUCGUGCCCGUGCCGCCCACCGUGGCCACCUUCAGCGUCCGGAAAUCGGCCGCCGAGGGCGCCGCGGGGAUCCUAGCCAAAUGGCAGGAGCUUGGAGACCUCCUCCCCGAGGAGCUCUUCAUACGGGUGCUCGUCCAGAAGCAAGGGGCCAACUUCCAGUCCCUGUACCUGGGCACCUGCGCCGAGCUCCUCCCCGUGAUGCGCGCCGCGUUCCCGGAGCUGGGCGUGAACGCGACGCACUGCAAGGAGAUGACCUGGGUCCAGUCCGUGCCGUACAUCUACCUGGGCGCCACGGCCACCGCCGAGGACCUCCUCAACCGGACCACCUCCCUGGACACCUUCAGCAAGGCCACGUCCGACUACGUCCGGCAGCCCAUCCCGGAGGCCGUCUGGGCGGAGAUCUUCACGGCCUGGCUCGCGAAGCCGGAGUCCGGGCUCAUGAUCCUGGACCCCUUCGGAGGCGCGACCGGCAGGGUGCCGGAGUGCUCGACGCCGUUCCCGCACCGCGGAGGGGUUCUGUACAACAUCCAGUACAUGAAUUUCUGGGGGAAGGAUGGUGGUGGCACGGCUCAGGUGAAGUGGAUCAAGGAGUUUUACGCCUUCAUGGAGCCGUACGUGAGCAAGGACCCCAGGGAGGCGUACGUGAACUACAGGGACCUUGACCUGGGCCAGAAUGUCGUCCUCGGUGACGGCGACGACGGCGUCACGAGCUAUGAGGACGGCAAGGUUUGGGGCGAGAAGUACUACAAGGGGAAUUUCGAGAGGCUCGCCAUGGCCAAGGCUGAGAUCGAUCCUGACGACUACUUCCGGAAUGAGCAGAGCAUCCCUCCACUAAUUUGUGAGAAGAAGCAGACGUUGAGGAAGGCGGCGCACGGUCACGCUCAAACCGUGUAGUACCUGCACACAAUUCACUCCUGCUUAUUACAGCAUACUGUAUGUUAUCUUUCUUGUUUUUUCCAUCGUGUGUUUUGCGUGUCGGCGCCUUUCUUUGAAUUGUAUGCUCGAUUGCUAAUCGAAACCAGACUUUACGACUAUCAAAGCAUCCUCUCUCUUUUUUUUCCCCCCCUUCUACGUAUCACUUUUCUGUCACGCUUUGAGCUUUAUGUCUCCACGUUACACCUGCUGGUAUCGAGUAAAGAAAGAAUUCUUUGCAACGACACCGUUGUUUCUGAUCUCUGAAACUCACGCAAGUGUCAACUUUGUUGCACGCUCACUGAAUCAGUUACUAGGUUGUUUCUGAUCUCUGAAACUCACGCAAGUGUCAACUUGUUGCACGCUCACUAAAUCAGUUACUAGGUUGUACUACUAUAUGAAGUUGAUGUCUAAGCUUUGCUUGCUCAGAUGUCAAAAUGGAGAUGGAGAGACCAGUCAGGCUCUGUGAGUUUAGCUCAAUAAAUUAAACAGAACUACGAAUAUAAAUCGAUCGCUUUAAGAAGAAAUCCUGUGUAGAAUAUUGCUGUAUCUUUGUCACACUUGCAGUUCAGGUGCAUCAAUGGAUGUUCUGACUGAUACUGAAUUAAAUGGUGCUACAACAAUAGAGUAACAACUCUGGCAAUACUCAGAAACUCUGGCAUCCUUAGAGUAAAUAACUACUCCGUCAUAGCGACAUCGGAGACAUCAGUAUUCAUCCAUCAGUAGCCCGUUGAAGUGCAAACUAAAGUUCAGUACUGUUCUAUUGAAUUGAUGCACCUAACAGUUUACCCAAAGUAAUAUAUUUCAACAUGUUCAUCCGUCAGAACGUAAUUAUCUAGUAUUCGAAUUGAAGAUAAUUACCGAAGUGUAUCCAUCCUACUCAGACUCACCGUGAAAGUACUAAAAUACCCUUUUGGGAAGAGAGGGUGUGCUGAAGUAACUCUUGUGUGGAAACAAGGGACUUACAUCGGUUCGUAGGCACUGUCUCAGGUGGUGUGGAAACCAAGGUAUUCUCACUUUUUGGGAGAUCUGAUGAGAGCCAAACGAUCUUUUUUCCGUUUUGGAUCAUUCUCUAUCAAGUAUAGCUCUCAAGUGAGAUUCUGGGAGAAUUCUUGGCUCGGUGGUCGUCCCCUUCGAGACCAAUACCUUUCCUUAUUCCUCAUUGUUCGUAACAAACACGAUACCUUGGCACAGGUUCUCGUCUCCUUCCCACCAAAUGUGUCCUUCAGGCGCAACCUUGUCGGAUCUAAUUGGUGGAUUGGACCAACCUCCUGACUCGCCUUACUACUAUGAACCUAUCUCCUGGACAUGAUGAGUUUCGCUGGAAUCUUCACCCCAGUGGUUUAUUUUCGGUCAAAUCAAUGUACCAUGUCGUGGUCCAUGCUGAUAUGCACGCCGAUAUCUAACAAACGUAUAUGGAGAUUAAAGAUUCCUCUAAAAAUUAAAAUUUUCCUUUGGUUUUUGCGGCGGGAGGUCACUCUUACUAAAAACAACCUGUUAAAGCGGAUUUGGAAGGAUGAGACCGUUACACACCUUUUUUUUCCGAUGUGAUGUCUCUCGAUCUGUGUGGUCGAUGGUCCAAAUAACUUCAAAUCUUUAUCCUCCCCGUGAUGUUGCUCACAUGUUUGGGCCUUGGUUACGGGGUGUUCACAAAAGAUUGAGCGCGCUUCUUAUGUUCAGGGUUGCUGUUUUAUGUUGGGCUAUUUGGCUGUACAAAAAUGAUAAUGUUUUUUUAAUAGAAAGAAUUUAACUUCUCCAAUGCAGGUUUUGUAUUCUUGCAUGCAUUGAUGUCGUACUUGGUUUAACUUCUCGAGCCGGCAGACCGUCAUUUGGUUUUGAUGACGUGCAACCAGCGGGAGCAAGUUGUCAGUGACAUUUUUACCCACUAUGAGUGGCGGUCUAGUAUCCGUCUUGAUGUUGAUUGAAUCGUUAUAUUUGUUUCAUUGUAAUAAGUUUGUUCGAUACUUCCUCCUUCCCAGUUUAUUUGUCGUAUUAGCAUCAUCACAAUAACCAAUGAAUCCAUCUAUGCAUGCAAACCGGCUGAAAUCAUAGUUAAUUUCUGGCUUUUCGAGUCCAGCGUGUACUGCUCCUUUCCCACGGCUAGCCAUCAGCCCACCAGUGCAUGCCCAUGCAUGCGUGCAUGUUGGCCCACAGCAGCAUGUGCCGCCUGUGUUUCUCCCCAAGUCUACACUCGCGGAGUGAGCUGCAUUAGUUACCGACCUUAGACGACAUUUUUUCUGGGAAAAAAAUAAAAAGCUAAGGCGACAAGUAAAUUGAGAAGAACUGAGUACUUAAUUAUUGGAUGUGUGUGUUUCGAAAUAGAGACCGGAAUGUGAUAUUGUGUGAUUGUUUCGCUCGAUAUAACAUUGAGAUCAAUAAAAUCUUUCAUUUUCGAAAGAAAAAACUAACUCCUGUGUAAACCAUCCUAGCAAUCAGAUGACUUAGCAUUGAGAAUGCACCCAACUAACACAGCGACCAAACGAAAAACCUAAAAAAGGCAAAGCCAAGAAGUGUAAACGUUCGCGGCGGUCAAGCAAACAUGAAGAAACUACACAUUCCACGACCAAACAUGAAGAAGGAAUUAAUGCUGAAUGGCACACCGUCUUAUAGAGCGAGCCACUGGGUCUUGUUGACCCGGAUCUGACUACACCACUAGUGAGUCUCACAAAGUCCACAAAUCCAAGUUGUCAGGAAGGCGAUGGUACAAUCGGACAUUGAUCGAACGUAGGUGCACACACCCGAAACCUUGCGGGUGAAGAGCUAAGGAUCCAUUCCCUCCAUUUCAUAAAAGUUGACGUAUUUCGUUUCGUUAAGACAAGCUUUUGACCAAAAAUUACUCUAUCAAUAUGUAAGUUAUAUGAUACGAAACCAUGAUCAUUAGCAAGAACUUUUAAAGACGAAUCCAUUGAUAUAAAUUUCAUGUAUGAAAAAAUACAUAUCAAUAGAGUUUCAAUUGAUCAAAGACUUAUCUUAACGAAACAAAAUACGCCAACCUUUGUGAAAUGGAGGGAGUACUACGAGUGGAACAUUUACCUUCACAUUUUUUUCAACAGUUUGACUGACCAUGCAAAUCAUAUAAAUUGGGACGGUCACACUAGAAGCAUGGGUGUUGACAAAUGCCAGUGUUAAUAGAAAAAAAACUAACAAUGCUAUUAUGCUACUAGCGCUACAUGCGUGCUUCUGAGUUCUGAUCGACCAGAGAAGUAGCUGCUCACAGAAUGCCAAUGUGCAUCCACGGUUCUGAACUUCUGAUCCCGCGCGCGUUUUCUGUCGCCACCAACUCAUCAUGCAAGAAACAAUAUCUGAAACGGACAUGGCAAAUUAAUGUCAGCGUACGUCCUCACACAAUUUGCUCCGGCAACAACGGCGCGAGCACGUUGCGCCGGCAGACGGGGCACGUGGAGUGGUCACGCAGCCACAGGUCGAUGCACCGCCGAUGGAACACGUGCAGGCACGCCGGCAGCCGCUUCACCGUCUCCCCCUGCUCCACCUCGCCCAGGCACGCCGCGCACUCAGAUGCGCCGCCGCCCUCCGGCUGCUCGUACGUCGUCGGGAUAUCGUCCGUCGUUGCCACCCGCGCGCCGCCUCCUCCCACCGGCGGCUCCCGGGCCAGAACGACCAGGUGACGACCCUGUCCUGGAACCACAAGGUCGCUGCCGCUGCCGCUUUCUAUUUCUGGCCGUUGGCUUGAGCGUGCGCAGCACCGGCACGGCAGGAAGAGCAGCCAGCCGACGGCGCCGCGGAAGCACCGGCCCAACGUCGUCGACAACGGGAAGUACAUGUCGCAGCAGUUGACGUACAUGCCGCCAGCGAUGAUGACCCAGAAGAGGAGGACGACGGCAAGCACGGCGACGGAACAGUUGCUGAGUCGUCCACCACGCGACUCGGAAAUGAUCAAGGAGAGGAACAUGGACGCGCCGCCGAAGCACACGAUGCUGACCAUGGCCAGCAACAACACGCGGCCGAAGCAACCCAUGGCCUCAGCUCGCUAUGGCUAGCUAGCUAAGCCACCAGCCAAUACUUCUUCAGCGGUUCACUCUCAAAGCCUCGGCGGGGGCUCGAUCAGGUGAAUCAGCUCGCAGGUCGUCGCGCAAAUUCCAUUUCGUACCGAGGAAGCAAGCGGUUCACUCCAAAGCCCCGGCGAGGAAGCAAGCGAUCAGCCUAUGGGCGGCUCAUGUACAUAUGCAAGAUUGAUUUCGGCACUAAUAAUUUGUUUAAUAAUACGGCAUCGGCAUCGCCUAGAUGAUCGGUGUAUACGUCGUCGCCGGCAUUUCUACGGCGGCCUUAUGCGUUUGGACUUUGGAGUGGUGCGGAGAUGGCGAUCGAGGUGCUGGAAAUGCAUAGUUGAGGAUGAUUUGCUCUAAGCGUACGUCGCAGGUGCGGCAAAAAGAUGUGUCACUUGUUCACCGUUCCCUUUCUUUUCUUUUUUCUGGCUUUUGUAUUUUGUAUUUACCUUUCUCUUUUAAUAUAUUUGGCAGUAGGUUAACGGGUCGGGUUGGCGGCAUCCGACAGGUGGGCCCCAUCUAUAAGAAAUCAAGUCAAACCGCCAAAUCACUGAGUUUCGGACUGGUUGAGGCAAAUUUACUCAAAAUGUGUGAUUUUUUUGCGGACAGUUUUUUUUGUUAACUGUGUCAUGAUCCAUUUUUAUUCGGCUCAAUCUUUUUUUUUCUAAAAAAAAAGAUUGAGCCGAGUUUAAUUGCAGUCAAUUAGAAGAAUAAAGAAGAAUUACUGCAUUUCGUAACUUAUUUUUUCUCUUUUUAUUUUGUUUCUUUUUAUUUAGACCUUCUUCAUAUUUAGUUUUAUCUAUUAAUUGAUAGUAUCUACCGGCGCGAACUCGAAUUUGAUCGCCUUCCUUUCAAUAAUAAAAACUCUUUUGUUUGUAAGAAAGGAAUGAGAGAGAUAUGGAUUAGAAAUUGAAUUUCCCCUUUUUUUUCUUUCUCUUUUUUUCUAUAGAUCAGACAUUUGUUUAUGGAAGAAAAAUAAAAAGAUUUAGUUCAUAUUCACGAAGCCCCAGAUUUUUGGGCCGAGCUGGAUUUGAACCAGCGUAGACAUUUUGUCAACGAAUUUACAGUCCGUCCCCAUUAACCGCUCGGGCAUCGACCCAGGAAGAAUUUGAUAAUCUAUGAUUAAUCUCCUUUCAUAAUACUCCCUACCCCCAGGGGAAGUCGAAUCCCCGCUGUUCGGCGAAACCACUGCCCAAAAUUGUUGAUUUUUAAAUUUACUCUCAGUUUUUUUUUCUAGAAUACACCCAAUCAGGUGUAUCAUUGAUUUAUAGAAGAAGAAUUUGCUCCGAAGCGGCUACAUGCCCAAAGGGCCGACACACGACAUAACUAGCCGUUAUCUCUCCACUUUCUCGGGAUCGACCCGAAGCCUAGACCACUAAGGAGCCCAGCACGAAUCCAGGCCUCCGCCUCAACACUUAAGCCACUCAGAAAGGAAGCUAAAAGGACCGGGGCAUGGUCGAAGACCACCCUAUUCGUAAACCUCCAGACCGACCAGAAAAUCAGCGACGAGCUCGUAGAGAACUCCUUGCGAUCCUUGCCGGAGAGGGGGAUAGCCAACCACCAAUCAGAGAGAGUGGCCUCCGGCCCAGGCAUCCAUUCCACUUUUCCCCACUGAGCGAGGGCCUGCCACCGGACUUGUCUCACAAAGGAGCAGCCGAGGAGGAGGUGAGAGAUAGUCUCGUCCUCCUGGCCGCACAGAGGGCAGCUCUCCGGGUGAUCCAAACCGCGACAAGCGAGCCGGUCAGCCGUCCAGCACCUCCCACGACAGGCAAGCCAGGUGAACAGCUUGCAUUUAGCCGGAGCCUUAGAACCCCAGAUCAGCUUGGCGUAGUUGAAGUCCAAACGGCCCUCGAAGAACGCCAGGUAGGCCGAUUUGGCCGAGAACUUGCCCGUAGUCGUCCAACUCCACCGGAAGACAUCGUCCCCAGUGCCCAAUUGAACCCGCUGAAGUCUUUCCCAGAUAGCAAGGAACUGAGCCAGACCAGCAUCGUCAAGGUCAGGGUCCACAGCAGCCACCCAUCUAUUAUUGGCACAGGCCUCGGCCACCGAGAGGUCACCGUCCCGGUGGGGCGCGAUUUUAGGCGCAAGGUCUGAGAUGCGCCAACCGUCAAUCCAUGGAGGCAGCCACUUACUCUCAGUUUUUAAACACACAUGUUGCAAUGGCUUGCUGUUUGGCGGAAUUAUAUCUAUUAAAAUGUAUUGCCCAUGUUUCCCUGGCAGUGCGGACAUUUGGGUGAAAGUCGUUAGAUGCAUCCAAUUCAAUUAGAUUUAAGUCGACGAAUCAGAACCUUUGGAUUCAUAUCUGGAUCUCAUUUUACUCUUCUUUUUUAAUCAUCUGUUUCGAAUCUUAAAGCACAAAUCAUAUCCAACUGUUGAGAAAUCAACUUAUCUCUAACUAAAAAUCACUGAAAAUCAGACAAUUUAGAUAUAGCAAAACCGAUUCAAUUAAUAUUCCUUUAGUGGUACUUUGUAUUUUCUCAUAUGGAGACCAGGUUCAGCCACAUAUUCAAUUUCCCUUGUAUGCAACAUCCCGCAGCUUGAAUGAAACUGCAUGUGGGUACUUUGUGCACGCACAUGAACUACUUCCUACUUCAAUUCUUUUUUUCUUUGAGAGGACUUCAUUCAAUUCUUUCAAAACAUCAUAUGCAAUACAUUUCAGCAACCGGAAAAAAAAGUCGUCAGUGUGUACAAUAGUUUCUGUAUGCGACAGGGCCGUAAAUCAGGCAUCACGAUCUAUACCCUGUCCAAAGCUUUUACCUUUGUUAUUGCAAUCUCCGUAACAUUCCAAAAGCAUAUGCUCGAGUCGACGACGCUGUUGAUGUAGAGAAAUGCAGAUGGCAUACGUCGAGACCAUUAAAAGAUGGGAUAUAUAUGCAUCCUUCAUCUACGGGAGAAAAACACUGGAAGAAGAAAGUUCCAAAAGGACUAACUGGUGUGUUCCUGAUCGAUCAAAUGUCAGUUCCCUCUAUCUGCCUCGAAGGAUUUAAGCCUGUGUUCAAAACAUUUGAUAUUGGGCAAAAAGAGUACUCGGCCAAAAAGAAAAACACUAAGGCCCUCUUCUUUUGAUCAGUGCAGCCGACAGCUGAAUCAGAAGAGAAGGGACAACGAGCAGUGAGGCCAGGAGAAUGAAUCCCUUUUUGGAAAAGAAAAAAAAAGAGAGAAUAGCUAGCUAGGUGUAUGCUUAUGUAAACAUUAAAGUUCACAAAACCAUACUUUUUUGAGCUAGGUUUUAGUUACCGGACAACGGUUAUGACUACUGUCUUACAAAACCAUAGUUUUGAGACAGGCCUUCUGACAAGACCCAAUUCAGGUAAUUAAAGGUGUUUGACAGUAUUUCUGACAAAAGACCCACUGUCAGGCGACACGUCAGACAGACCGGUUUACAAACGUGUUGUACAUAAUUAUGUUUUUGCUGGCAUUUUGGCUUUGACUCAACACUUCCUGGGUGGGCAGAAGCUGGCGUGAACAAGAAAACGAAUCGACACGUUCUGCCCAAAAAACUGUGGUCAUGAAAGACUAUUCGUCCGGCUUUAGGAGGUGCUUUAGCUUGUGCACUUGUGCCAACGCAGCCCCGAUUGCUGGACUUUUGGAUCGAACUGACCCCACCUGCACUCGAUUCACGUACGUUUUCUAUUCCGUUGCCCAAUGAGCUGAGACUAAUACGACGCUGAUUCAUCGGCCGCCGCACGCGCUUCCCAUAUGUCCCGCACAACGUGUGCAAGGACGCUUCUUAUUGUUGGACUGGAUUGUUCAAACUAAGCGCCCAGGAAAAGCGGACGGAGGGAGCAGUUAUAACUGUGUCCGGUGAAACCUAACCCCAAGAAGUAUGUUUUUUAUGAAAUUAACUCUUCUACUCCCUCCGUCUAACAAAAAAUGUCUUAACUUUGACCAAGUUUGAAUGCAUCUAUACACUAAGUCAUGUCUAAGUACAAUCAAAUUUUGACAAACUUGAAACAUGUUUUGUUGAACAGAGGAAGUAUAAAAGAAGUUGGCUUUAUUUACGCAGUCUACAAGAAGUGGGUGGUGAUGAUAAUCGUUCCAUGUUCAGUUGGAAUAUGGAAGGCAAAUUGGGCAGGAUGCAAUCCACCAAACUAGGGACUAGUACGCGUCGUCCUCGCGCGAGAGCCGCCGGAUCUUUUCAGUGCCCGCCAACCGUCGUCAACGCAUCAUCUUUUGCAUGCAUGGCUUUGAUCAUGCAGGCUACGAAUUUACACACCUCCAUAUAAUUUCGAGCUCUGUAGUUCUGUUUUACAAAGAACAAAGAUCUGUCACACCAUUUGGGACGGCAGCGGUGCAAAAACGCUGCACCGGCAGACCGGGCACGUCGUGUGGUCGCGCAGCCACAGGUCGACGCAGUGCUGGUGGAACAUGUGCAGGCACGACGGCAGCCGCUUAACCAUCUCCCCAUUCUCCACCUCCCCGAGGCACACAGCGCACUCCGAUGCGCCGCCAGAUCGCCCUUCGCCAUCCUGCUGCUGCUCGUACGCUGGAAUGCCUUCCACGGUGGCCUGCCGCGCGCUGCCGUGCACCGGCGGCUCUUGGGGCAGCCCGUCUGCUUGACUACUUAUCUGCACCACAAACUCUGGCAGAGCAACGGAAGCGGGGCCGCCAUCCACGAUGCUCGGGCGCCCCCACUGACACGGUAGGCAGAGCAGCCGGCCAAUCCCGCGGAGGCACCACAGGGGCGUGCCCAGAGCCUUGGCCGGCCAUCUCCCCAUGGCCGCCAACCAUUGGUAGGACAGCUCGAAGAAGGCGUGUUCUUGGCAGAUUUUUGAGCUGACCAUGAACCAGACGAGGAGGACUAUGAAGACCACGGCGACACCGGCUCGCACGCCAGUGCCGGGCUCCAACAACAGAGAAAGAACACACAAAAAUAGAUCGACGUAGAACCAGAUUGCUCCAAUCAUGGAGAUGAUGAACAUGAUACCGAAGACCAGAAUAAACAUGCAGUCGAAGCAGUCUCCCAUGGAUGCCAGUGCCGGGCAUGUCCGUAGAACGGCGCUCAGGCACCGCAGCUUGGCAAGUUCGACGUGCUCCGACGGGCACGGCAGGCAGAGCAGCCGGCCGACCCAGCGGAGGCACCACAGUGGCGCACCGAUAACCUUGGCUAGGCAUCGCCCCACGGACGACCCUUGGUACUGGUAGGGCUGUUCGAAGAAGUUGCGCUUGCAGAACACUGCGCCCAACAUGAACCAGAAAAGGAGGCAGAAGGAGACCAUGGCGACACCGACUCCCGUGCCAGGCUCCGAUAACAGAACGACGAGCAUGCAGAUGAAUGUAGUCGUGCCGACGAUGAAGAGAAAACUAAAAAAGACCAGUUCAGGCACGAAGUCCAUUGAUGCGAGUGCGCUACGAGUAUAUAUCCUCUGUGUUUUAGGCUAGCUGUCUGUCAAAUGGGUAGCAAAGCUACCAUCUACACAAACUAAUUUUGCAUAUAUAGCGCUUAGGUAUGAAGGAUGCAUAUCUUAAUGAAUGGUCUCGACUGCCGGCGCGCUACAUCCGCAGCGUGGUCGACCAUAUGCUCUUGGAAUGGUGCGGAGAGUUCCGUAAAAGAAAAAAUGGUGCGGAGAUCGCAAUAGAUUGCAAUAACAAAGUAGAAGCUUUGGAAAGGGUAUUGGUUUCCACAAGACAAUCGUCAUGUUUGAUGUACGGCCCUGUCGUGUACAGAAGCUAAUCUACACGUUGACGACCUUUUUUCCGCUUGCUAGAAUGCAAUCCCUCUGUUCCUAAAUCACUACUGGAAAAACAGAAUUUGCUUUUUUUUGUUAGGUCAACCACACGACUUUAUUAACUCGCUAAUACUUGUUUACAAUUAGUCCGUAUACUGUGUGACAGAAAACUAGGAACUGACUCUAUCCAAUCUGACGACACGCCAUGCAAGACGGCAAACCUAGCACACUCAUGGGCUGCAAACUUAGCACCACGCCUAACAAAAGACACCUGAAAACUGAUAAAACAACGACUCAACUCUUCUAUCUGCAGAGAAUAGGAGCAAUCAAUGCUCGGUGUAAACAAUGCUUGUCCCAGGGACGAACCAGAUCUUCACAAUCUCAAAGAUAACUCUCGUGAAGUUUUUCUCCCUUGCCAAGCACACUGCGUCCCGUAGAACAAGGGACUCGACGAUCAGAGGGUUAGAGAUCCCCUGAUAUAUUCGACUCCGAGCUGCCACAAAUCCAUUAGCAUCUCUCGAGCCACACAACCACUUGCUGCUCGGCCAUCAACAUCACUAAUAGCGCCAUCGGAAUUGAUCUUGAAAACUCCAGCGGGAGGGCCAUUACAAGUACACGAUGUUCUGGGCUGUUUCAUCUUAUCCCCAUCCAUCUUCUACUCUGGGAGCAAAAUCGUCUCCAUGCAGUUUCAAUCGACUUGCCCGCAUCCCUUGGCAAAGACGCACAUAUGCUGAGGGCCAAGAGAAAAGCACUCGGCAAAAUCACAGCCCACCGUAGAGUGGGCGAGAGGCACUUGGCAAAGUGCUGGCCGAGACAAAUUAACAAGGGCCAGGUCACUUUGCAAAAUAAUAAAAAUACAGUCGGCAAAGAGCAGUCCACGCCAAAGUUGGUGUUCACGUGUCCCGGCCCGUCGUGGUUGAUGGAUGGAGAGAAAGCACAUUCAUCAUUGUCAAGCGUCUCCUGAAAGACACCCGGCAAAGACUCUUUGUUAUUUUUUCUAUUUCUCUCUUGGUUCAAAAUAGGAUGUCAACCAUAUAUUUUUUAGUUUAAAUUUUCAUUUAGCAUUAAUGGUGAUUAACUUGAACUAAAAUCACCACGUUUUUGUAAAAAUGAUUAUUUAUCAUUUUAGAAUUGUCUAAUAUGAAUAAUUAAAUACUCCCUCCGUCCCACAAUUCUUGUCUCAAAUUUGCCCUAAAAUGGAUGUAUCUAUUCCUAAAAGGCGUCUAGAUACAUGUAAUAUUCUGACAAGAAUUAUGGAAUGGAGCGAGUAAUACUUAAAGAUUGUCAAAAAAAAUUGCCGGCAUGGUUCCUUGUUAUGGAUAUAUAAGUGUUUCCAUAAAUAUGACAAGUUAAUGCACAAAUUUAUAUGCUUCACAAAAUGCACUAUUUAGAAGAAGUUUCCAAAUUUAGGAUUUAAACCUCCAAACUUAAAGUCUGAACUAAUUAAGUUUUGCAAUAAUUCGAUCACUAUUGAGUUGAAUUUUUUUUACUGGAGUUUCAUUUAGCAUUAAUGAUGAGUAAUGUGAAAUCGCCACUUUUAUUUACCAUUAUCUAGAGUUCUUUAAUGGGAAAAAAUAAUAAUACAUAAAAUCGCCACUUUUAUUUACCAUAUUAUGGCUAUAUAAUAUUAGGGUAAAUAGGACAAGUCAAUAAACAAAUUUAAAUAUGAUACUAUCUUGCCAAGCAAAUACACGCAAAAAUUUAAAAGAAAAGAAGAAACGUUUGCCUUACCAAGUCUAUCGAGGAUCCCAACACUCGGCGAAAACGAAGAGCGGCAAUCGACAAAGCUUCGCUAGUGCCGCAUCUAGGUCGUCCACGAGUAUCCACGACCGACGUCGAUCCAUGCAUCACGUCACCUCACCGAUCCGGGCGACAUCACGAUGGAUCGACCCCCCAUCCCAUCCUCCUCCUCAGGAAAAUAAUUUUUUGCUAUAUCAACAGCUUCAAUGUCAGAUGAAUAUUAUUACAUGCAUCGUAAAAUAUAUUUUCGUAGUUCCUGCUUUUACACUGUAUACGUUAACAAUUUUUUUGCAGGCAAUCAACGGGAUGGGAAGGGGGGGGGGGGGGAUUCCCCACCACUAUAUUAUUACUUCAAAGAACCAGAGUAUUACAAUAGGGGGGGGGGGGGGGCAUAGACACGCCACAAGCGGAUGACUACCUUUUUUAAUUGCAUUUCAAUCCAAAGUUCAUAGAAACUACCUAGUGACUACCACCGAAGAAGCGAUCUCCGACAUGCACGAGAGGAGUGCCUUCGACGUCCUCGAAGGGCAAACCAUUGCCGAGUCAGUAUCAGUUACACAAUCUCCACCCGCUUGGUCGGUGGCUGAGUGGAUCCGAGCACCAACAAGUCUACGAGUGUUGUUACCCAGUGUAUCUAGUCGAAGGGCGUCACAUAGGAAGAAGAUGGAAGCCAGCAUAGCUAAGCAAAAUCGACUAGGGAUGUCUCCCCAUUCCAUAAACAUAACCUCAACAAUGGACCAAGAGUAAAGAAGCAACACCUUCGAAAAGGAAAAAAUGAUGCCUUCCAAAAAAGAAAGAAGGAAAAGAUGCAAUAACGCCUUCCAAAAAAAAAGAGAAGGAAAAGAUGCAAUAACGCCUUCCAAAAAAAAAAGAAGGAAAAGAUGCAAUAACGCCUCCACCGUCGAUCCGUGACACCGGAUCUGGGGUUUCCCCCAAACUCAUGGAUGCUCUGAUGGAAUCCAAAACAGACGGCCUCCAAGGAGUUGAACGGCACCCUCAAGAGUCACCGCGUCAUAGGCACAGAAGCCCCAGAUUUCUCCGCUAAUUCCAAGAACCGAGCACAUACUUCGUCGUAUUGGAGCAAAGGAAGCGCAUCAUAGCAUGGCAGCCCAGAAAAAUGGCCAGAUCCGACGGCCCAGACUAGAAGCGGCGCACGAACACCAGCCCACAACGACAGUUGCCCAGCUUGGAUCUGAGGUGCAGACCAGUGCCCCGCCUCCCCCACCAGACAGAGGCACGCUUGAAGCUGGAUUUGGAUGAGAAGGGGCAGGCGACCUUCCUGUCCCUGGCUGUCACCGGAUCAGGACGCCUCAGAGCGACGGAAGGCCCGCAGACUGUAGUCCAUCGCGGGGAGAUGACGACAACCUCGCCUUGGGAGGCGGCGGCCAGGGGCGGAGCCGGGGGGGAGCGAGCAGGGGUCAGAUUGUUACACCCUAGCCUGUUCCGGUGGGAGUUGUUGCCGGAGACAAGCUAGACGGCGGCGCCGCCAGACUAAGAUAUCGGGAGAGAGCGUUGUUUCAUUUCUUUUCAUCGAUAACGUUCUCAGGUUAGCAAGCUACCUCUUAGUAGUCAAAGCCCAACAGCCUCCUCAGGCCCAAACGCUAAGUUACAUACUUAAAGAAACUGGACAGGCCAAGCAAAACUGAAGACAAUUAAACUGUACUUGUUGCAUCAGACGGAGGCUCGUCAGAUGUAACAUUGUCCCACCCACCCCUCCCCCCUUGAGAACCAGCUGGUCUCCAGGCUGGGGCAUCCAGGGAAACUGGACUUGAGCACCUCGUAGUCCUCCCAUGUUGAAGAAGUAGCUGGAAGAGUAGUCCACUUGAUUCUGACUUGAAGAUAGGCCUUGUUCCCUUUUUGAUCAGACGGCGUUCGAGAAUUGCUUCAGGAACCAGCUCAGCAGCGUCCAACACAAUUGGGUUUGGUAGUUCAUUUGACUCUGCUGUAUACUUCGGAAUGAAUGGUUUCAAUUGCGAAAUGUGGAAAACUGGAUGCACCAUGCUAGAAAGUGGCAACUUGAGUCGGUAUGCCACUGAUCCAACUCGCGCCUCCACUUCGAAAGGCCCAUAGAACUUAUAUGAAAGUUUAGGACAGGGACGACUCACCACUGAGGAUUGUGUAUAUGGUUGCAGUUUAAGAAGAACCUUGUCACCCACUUGAAAAGAUCGGUCAGUACGAUGACGAUCUGCCAUAUUCUUCAUGCGAAGACGAGCUCGCUCCAGGUGGUUCUGCAAGAAAACCGAGUGCUGGUGACGCUCCUGGAGCAUAUCUUGUACACUGUGAUCUUGAAUCGAUGUCAGAUCAGGCAUGAUGCCGUACGAUGCAUCGUAACCAUAAAUCCACCCUCCAAAAACCACACCUUUGACAGCAGCCCCCUACACAGCAAAGGAAUUAACCCCAACAAUCAUACCGUAGGAACUAUAGCCUCGAUAUCUCCACUCCGUUAGCCGAAGCAGCAAGAGCCAUCAGCAUAGGAACUCUUCCAUAUGCUGCCAUUUGCUCAUAACUAAAACCACAUAUCACAAAACCAUAUUUUUCUGAAAAUGAACUAUAGCCUAGAACAAAGUCUACUCCCUAAGCAAAAAUAUACAAAAAAAAAAUCCUCUCAACACUGCAAAUCCUAGCAGUCGAUAGGCCAGAUUAUACAUCAGUCAAAUUCCAUGCUCAUCAAUUUCAGACAGGUAUGGCACACGCGACACAUGACAACUACAGUAACCACCAUCAACAUAAAUAUAUAAAUAGAGAACUUGGAUUUAAUAACAAAGAAAAAGAUUUAACAACUACAGUAUCCGGCCACGCCCCUUGCCUUCUGGUGCUCCUUCCUCUACAUGACCAUGCCCGUGCAACAUGGAAGGUACUCUUCAUUGAAUGACAUAGAUUUCAUAUAAGCUAUAGAUAUGCUCAAAGAAUGAGACAAUCUGAAACUAAACGGUGGCUACAUAUGACCUUAAUAAGAACAAAGGUACAAUUUAAUCUACGAUGCUUCAUUUUGGGUAAACUAUGUUCUCUCACUUCCGUCAAAUUCUGCUGUGAACUAAGCAUGAUAUAGGAGGAUUUUUUACCACAACAAUAAAAAUCUAGAUAAAUCAAAAGAAAACUGAUCAAUACAAACCUUCUUUGGAAAGUGAAAAUCGAAGUUGCAGAGAGAAUGUGCUUGCAUAAACCAUCAGAUUUUUUUUACCAAAAAAUAGAACUGAUUGAAAUCGUAGAAGCAGAUAACCUGGAUAUUUAUUAAAAUAUGACAUGGUCAGGUGGCAGCUCACCUUCUCGUGCCUAAUCUCUUUAAACUGGAUCCACACACUUGCCUCAAACUUGACCCAUGGCUCACAUUCUCAGUGUCGUGAACCAGUAGAAGAAUGUUAGACAUGCCAACCUAAGUCAGUAAUAAAAAUAGCACAUUAUAUUGAAUUACUUUUCACAUCACAUAACCAGGUAAAGAUCAGUAGAGAGAUAGGGACAAAAAAGCAACAAUGUAAUCAACAAUCACAUAUCAUGUUUUGCUUUCCAAUUAUUCAACUUCCAAAAAGCUAGAUAAAAAGUAGCAUUGCAUCUUUUCUUAUCAACAUGAAUAGCAGGUACAAGCUCUAUUUUGGCAUUGGCAUUGGCAUUGCAAAUAGCAGAAAAUGCAAGAUUUUAAUUUUUUUCCUAAGGUCAGCAUUACAGGAUCAAUCACUAUCUGUUGUUGCAUGUAGUUCAAAAUAAGACAUUAGAAUUUCCUCGAUGUUACAGUACAUAGUAACUAAAAGCUUUUGCAUUGAAUUCAAUUAAUUAUUUUACUCUUCUUUUGAUUGGCUUUCUAAGAUUCAAGGAGACAUAUGCUUGUUCUGUUGUUGGCUUAUUACUCAUUACAAUUGGUUCUAGAUAUUUAUUCUGGUUCUCACAGUUCAAUAAAGAAUAUUGUUCAGAUUCACUGAUCUGUGCCUUGUAACUGGCCCUCACUACAUGAUCAUAAUGUAGGCUUGUAGGAGCAGUAUUUCCUUUCAACCUCCUCAUUAGAAGCGUUCCGAUAUUAUCCACUUUAAAGAAUCAAACCAAAGAGAGAAAAUGAUUAUUUACUAUAAAGAAUCAAAUCAACAGAGGGCAGUUAAAUAGUCUGACUACAUGCAUGGAAGAUCGAUCUAAAACAAAAUAACUAAAAUGAGCAGAGCACGCACCGAUCAUAUUACCACAAAUUAAUUAAACCUUUUUGAACCCGCCUUCCUGCACACGCCGACAUUGAUGGACUGGUCAUCAAGCGGUCCUUCCCCUUCUUUGGCGAAGACACCAGUCUACAGCAAUUCCUCCUCGGAUACGGCAAUGUCAAUAGCGAAUCGAACUUGUAAAUUAACAACAGAAUGAGAUACUACCGAGUUUCAAGAAAGGAAGAUGGAAGGAGUAGGAUGCAGUUGUGCAGGUGGGGAACGGGGCUGUGUGAAAGUAUAAUAAAACAAAUUUAUAGACUCUACUUUUUUUGACAAAUGAGUAUGCACAAUCAAGGAGUAACAUACAUGACAGAGAGAUUAUUUGUCCAUCAUCGCAUGAGUAUGGCUUUCCUAUGUUACAUUAGAGGGACAUGGUGAAAUCUAACAUGAAGUGUUACCUGACAUGUAGCAUCCAAGGUUCCAAUAGAUAGAUUUCAUUAAAAAUCCUGAACUGUAGCAUCAAAGUUUCAGUAGAUAGAUUUCAACUUACCUGACAUUACUAAGUUCAUCAUUGAUACUUCAAUUACCACAUUAAGUUCUUCCAAUGAAUAUGGAUGCUCCGGGUCCUUUACAUCUCUAAUCUGAUGUAAGAUUGUAAAUGAGUACAAAAUUAUUAUGCUAGCAGGACCCCGGAUUAAUAACAUAUACCAUGAAAGCAAGCUACACCUACAUACAUGCAGAAAAACCAAGAAAGAGGAUAUAAAAUAUUUCUAGCUGGUCUAUAGGCUCUGCUGCAUUUUCAUAUGUAUUUUCUAGUGGCAGCCAAAUGCGCCUCUCUUUUUUUCUCAUGAACCACAGGGUUAGCAUUUGACAAUUCCAUGACCAUUUUCCUCUGCAAGACAACUAAUUUGGAUAGGACGGACAAAAUCCUGCAGGUUAAAAGCACAAGAAUUGUCAAAUGGUAAUUCCUGGUUGCAAAUUGUGUCAAGUGGAAACUUACACUGUUUCUGCAGGUUCCAAAAUUUGAAUAAGACUGACAGACUGAUAAAAGCUAACGUUAUCUUAGGCUUUCUAUAUCUUUCCCCACUUUUUGACAGUGAAUUUGUUAACUUAUCCUAGAUACAGGUUACAGCAAGAUAAUAUUUUGUGCCCUCAAACAAGUACACGAAAAUACUCAGCCCUUGCUCCCUCCUUCAGGAGCUUCCAUACCCUGUCCAGACGAACACUGUGUUCCCUCUGUUUCUCUCUUACAUCUCUUACUCUCCAGUAAAAAUAUUAUUUGAUUUUUCGACACAAAGAUUGUUCAUUCUGAACAAAAUAGAUUGGCCCUUCCACUUUAAACCUAGUAUUGGAUUCUUCACAAUACAACAAUAAUUUACCUGGCAUGUAGAUUCUGGCAAUACAACAUUAUAAGAAUUCACAAUCGAAAUACUUCAUACAAUCUCCCUCUCCUCCAUUCCACUCAACCAAAACAUCUAAAGAACCUAAGGUUCAAUAAAUUUUCGCUUGUCAGAUCUAAGUUCCCACAAAGAGAAUCGACCCCCCUCUACUAAAACAGAUUUCCAUCUACAGAACUCAUAGUUCAAGAAAUUUCUCACAAAUCAAAUCUAAGGUUCCCAAAGAGAAAAACAGGGGGAUAGGGAGUGGAGAGAGGAUACCCUUACCUGAAUCGCUUGCCGUCGCCUGGAUGUCAGAGGUCGUUACCGGCCGGAUUCCUUGGUGCGGCAGUGCCUGCGUCAUCCAACAGAGAUGCAGGGGUGUUGAGCGAAAAUCAAGGAGGGAAGUGCCUAGCGAAUGGAACAGAGAGGUGAGGCGAGGUUCAAGGGCGAGUCAACGUUGAAAUCCCGCGAAGGACGGCGGCGGGGAUCAGCGCCGAGGCUCGUCUCCUUCCCACCGCCGCACGCCUCAUCUCCUUCCAACGGUCGUCGUGACUCACAAGCCUCCCAUCAAGCUGGAGGCAGAAAUAUCUCCGCGCUCUACGCGGCCGGCCAGGGGCUGGAGCCUCGAGCACCGACAUCGUGGAGGAAGAUCUGCAGGGCCAGGGGACGGCGGCGGUUGAGGAUCCGGACAGCAGGUGCUGGGCGAGGACGACGGCCGGGAGCAGAGCAAGGCCGAGGGUGCCAGAAGCCCAGAACACACCCGAACACACCCCCGAACCGAUCACUUUCACACGGGUGAUUUCUUCGCCCUUUCACAGGGGUAAAGAUAUGCUUCCAUGUAUCUGCGGUAAGAUUUAUGUGCCUUUGACGAUCGGAUUUCAUGUAUACUAGCUUUGUACGCUGCGCCGUCGAUCACUUGAUCACCUUGUUGCCAUAUUUUUGCUUCUUCAUGGAUCACCUACGAUUCGUAGUUCUAGAUACAGCUUUGCCGCGCCGCUAAUCGAUGCUUUUCUAUUUGAGCUACACCACUUGGUAGGUCUUUUCGUUUUGUCUUUUUUUUGUUCAGGUGGUAGUAGAAGAAGCAAGUCAUUAAACAUCAAUUCAUUUAUGGAUUUUGUCUAACUAUAAGCAGGUUCAUCAAGGUCUCAUGUCCCAGAUGAAAACAUUGUAUGUCACAUAAUGUAUGAUAGGUAGAAUGGAAAAUAAACUUUAUUAGGCCGAAUACAACCACUUGGAUAACACUGUAAAAAAAAUGCGAAAUACAAACCUAGUCUGACUCCUGACACUUUUCAAAAUACCAUGCUGGACACUAACACCUUGGUAUGUUUUCUACUAAAAAAAUGAAGUAAAAUCUGAUGUGGUUGCAUUGCACAACUGCAUCGCUGGGAAGAUCUAACAAAUUACCUAGAAAUAAAAUAGCCACCUCAAGUGAUUUUGCAUACAGAUCCUAAUGACUUGUACAACAACAAUGUAACUCUUCUUUCUUGGGAGAACACAACAGUGGAGCUGAAUUCUUUUACCCCCAUGACACAACACAAACUCAUGACAUAUGGUUUCAUGAACCAAUAUGAACCCUCAGGGAGUAGCUUGCAUGUUCUUCCCUUACUACUCCAUGCCCACGGGGUACAACUCCCUCUGCAUUUGUGUACUGCAACAACACCCACAUGCAAGAAUACAUGAAUGCAAAUACAAUAAUGUUUAAAUUCAAUAGAUACAAGAGAACGAAUCGAUAAGAAAAUUGGUUUGCUUCUUAAUAAAAGAAGAGAUAUUUAAUUCUGAUCUAACCCGCAAGAUCAAGAUACACCAUGAACAUAUAUCAGGAUUGAAAUUGCGCAGAAAUUGACCCCGUGCCAUGUUGCCAUGAUUCUAGUCAUGAACCUGGACAUCAUGCAUGUGAUAGAUCUUAUCAGGGACAUAAAAACCUAUUUGUUCCUUAGAGAAAGGACGAAAACAAAAUUAGUAGUGAGCCACAAGUGUGUGAAUUCAAAACUAAAUGAUGAUGGAUUUGUCAACAAACCUACAAUCUCUCGGUUCACAUAAAUAUGUAUUUUCCUUCUAUAUAUUUUUAAAAGAAGACAUUUAUUGACGCACACAGCCUAAUAUAAUUCAUUAAAUUUCUUAGUAAAGAGUUGUUUUAUAGGUGAAUGAUAUCAUUGUGUACAAGUGUAUUAAUCAAAGUAGCCGCAUACAUCGCUAGCACUCUGAGUUUUACAAUGAGCAGAUUUAACCAAGAGGGUAACAAAGAUGUGCUUGCUCUUCCUCCCCAGGAAGUUUCAGGCGCUCCAUGCCGACGGUUUCUGUAGCAUCAAACUUUUGUCACAAUGGAGGUAUAUAUCAAUGAAAUAUUAAUAGUUUGGAUUUUAAAAGAAAAGAAGACAGUAAUAAUAGCAUAUAUCAUUUUUCCUGGAAAUAAUAGUACGGAGUAACAAUUUAUAACAAAUACUACCUCCGAUUUUAAAUUGUUGUUAAAAUAUUACGUGUAUCUAGAUGCUUUUUAAGAAUAGACACAUCCAUGUUUGAGCAAAUUUAAGUUAAGAAUUUAGCAUCAGUAGCAGACAAAACCACUUGCAUGUAGGCAAGCACAAAGAAUUCUCAAUUCCUAGCAUGUUGCUUCAUCUCCUAGCGCAUCUCAAAAUUAAUAUAGCAUCCGGCGCUAAUCAAGGAAGAAGUAACAAAUAACAAGACAGCUUAUAAACUCUCAGGUCAAUGGAUAUCAACCAAUACUGUCAACUAAUACUAAUUAUCUCAUUGCUUGCUUCUACUUGUUAGAUUACCCUAACACGAAUUAAAUGACAAAAGUAUUCACUCCCACGAGCAAUUGGGUUCUGGAAAUAAAAAGCUUGCUGUGCACAUAACAUUGAGGUGACAGUAUACAUAGUUGCAGAAUGAGCACUUGUACAGGAAAAAAAAUCAAUCUCAAGGGGAGAUGUAACAGCAGCUAUCACUUCGGAGAGUGUGUCCUGGCUUCCAUUGCGAUCCAGCCAGUUUAAAAUGGCAACAUAAUGAAUAUUUUGGUGUAAACUGCUGCAAGGUAAAAAGGAUAUAAGAAUCCAACAUCAACCUCUUGAACCAGCAAAGCGGAAAUAUCUAGUUACCUCUUUUGAUGGAACUUAUGGAACUUAUAAGACUUUUCUGUCAAAGAAAUAGAGCUUCUCACAGGCUGGCAAAUAUACAAAAGUAAAUAACCAAUCAACAUUAUUUAAAUUUAAAUUAACUUCAAAACGUAGAGAUAUUGGCUACAAGCCUACAACAUGAUUGCUCAAUUAAGAUCCAACGAUGGGAAUAUUGAAGGGCAUGCGGCCGAGAGAAGAGAAACAGAGUACUGUGCAACAAGGCCUGAAAAGAAAUAGAUGAAAGAUAAACCUGAAGAGAAACCUGUCAGCUAAGGGGAAUUCCCCACUCCAACAGGCAAAACAAUGCCGUGCAUGCAGCAAAAAAGAACAAAAAAUCAAAACUCAGCAACACGUCCGGCAGAACUCCAGGACUGAAGAUCGUCUAAAAACAACAGAAACUCAAAACUCAGCAACACAGCCGGCAGAUCUCCAGGACUGAAGAUCAUAGAGGAUCAACUCAAACACCAUGUCAACAAUAUUAAUUAACCUCCUGCUGAAAGAUGUGGGCGUUCCUUUCCUUCCAAAUUCUCCAGUGGUAAAGGUAUCAAAAUCAGUGCGAAGAUGCUUCGGGGCUCUUUUCCUUGCCACAGCCCAUAGUCCAACGAUGGGAAUUUCAAGAAGACAAAAUCUAGCAUCCAGAAUCAUGAAUCAAAAAAAUUAGAGUCUAAAAUACCAUGGGUGGAGUCUGCAGCUUGCCGUUGCAGGAACUUGGGGAGGGGUACCAGCGCGUGAAUUGUGGUAUUCCUAUUACGCCCUGCUCGUCGGGUUGCAGCGGACACGAUGGCUGGGAAAGCGAGGAGGCGGAAGUGGGUGCCGUUUAUAGGAGGGUGAACACCGUGACGGCGGAUUCAUACAAAGAGAAUGGGGGAGCAGAUUGAGUACGUGGUGGCGCAACUAAAAUUAGCAAAUAAAGGUGCAAAAGUCCUGGGAUGCAAUUCAAGUAGGGGACAUCUGCAAAUGCGUCUGGUUAUAUGUCAGAUUGCGCAAAAUCAAUUGACCAUGUUGUGACCAAACAUCUCUAGAAACAAGCAUACAUAGCCGGGCAAAAAAAGAAGUGUACCUGUUCAUUUUUUUUCCUUACGACCUCUUGAGUCCGGGUUCCACUAUAAGAAAGAUAAUGGAACAAAACAGAAAGGUUCACCCACACACAGAGUUCGCACACACUUUCUGCCCACGGCUAGCAAGAACGCACCCGAGUUGUCAAGCAACAAAUGAAAGUAAAGGAAGUACCACUGUCGUCUAUUACAGACGAACAAGGUCGUCAACAAAAGCUCACAGAGCUAGAAAGUUUGAAACUGACAAGUUCAAGCCCCCCCCCCCCCCCCCUCUUUUUCAUAGCACCUGGUUCCUGGAUCAGUUCGCCUCCUCACCAUCAUCCAUGAUACUUGUUAAUCUCUUCCUGUCAACCGCAACUUGCCCAGGGUGUUGUCGCAGCGCUUCUUCCUGCAAGAUCCUAGCUCCUUCACGCAAGGCAUCUCCAUCACCACCAGUCUGAAGGACUGCCCAAUAUUUCAGAAACGCACAGGCAUAGCAUAUCAAUUCCGCGGGAGAUCAAAUCAGUCGGUGCUCAAAACAAGCUCUGUUUCGUAAUUUCCAUAUUGCCCAACAAAUCCCUGCCAACCCAACUAUAUGUAGAUUACAACUGAGUCUUAAAUGACUCGAGAUCCAAUGUAAGUAUUGUGAAAAGGAAGAUGGUCUAGUGCCAGCCCCAAUAGCAACACCCACAAUCCCCCAGGUGUAUUUAGCCGCGUCACAAGUAAAGAAAAGGUGAUGAAUUGUUUCAUUGUUUGGACAAAAACGAUAGGUGAUAUCGCCAUGUCAUUUCCUACGAAACAUAUUAUCUUUGGUCGCAAUGGCAUUAUGCCAAAUCAGCCAUAAAUGAUGGAAGGACCUGACAGAGCCCUGAUUAGCCAGAAGAUUAUACAUGGAUUUGACAUUGUAUUUACCAUUCUUAGACCAUAUCCAAACAGGUCUAUCCUCUUCCCCAUUCACCCCCAUGCACAUUAGUUUGGAAUUCAGUCUGGUGUAAUCAUAUUGACAGCUCUAAUCAAGCCACCUCCUGAAAGUGAGGCGCCAACGUCUAGCAACUAUAUCAGCCACAGAACAUCCAAUAGCAUCUGAUGUACUAAAGAGACUGAGGAAUUGGUCUUUCAGUGGAGUAUGACCACACCAGGAAUCACCCCAGAAGUCAGUUCUUCUCCCAUUGCCUACUAUCAUCACCCUCCCCUUCAGAUAUAGUUCUCUAAUAUGAAGCAGAUCCUUCCCACCAGGAGAAUCAGAUUGUUUCCCUUUGAUAUUGUGAAUAGAUUGGCAUAUACCAGAUUCAGCCUCUAGCUUCCACCACCAUUUAUAGAGUAGGCUAAUAUUAAAUAGCUCCAGAUUCUUCACUCCCAAACCACCCCUAAUUUUAGGUUUGCAGAUCAAUUGCCACUUGACUAAGUGGUACUUCCUUUUGAGACUACCCCCCUGCCACACGAACUUUCUCCUGAUCUUAUCAAGUUUCUCUAGAUUGGUUUUAGGGACCCUGUGCAUAGAAAGGUGGUACACUGGUGUUGCAGACAGGCAAGCAUUCAGCAGAGUAACUCUCCCCUCAAUUGAUAGAGCCCCCCCUUUCCAGCCAGCCAACUUCUUCUCCAUUUUUUCUUCCAGAAUAGACCAAUGUACCUGUUCAUUGCAGAUUCAGGUGGGCCUCUAGCUUCCCAUGCCAAAAAAAUUGGACAACAUAACAAGAUCCAUCUAACCGUCAUACAUGUACAGCCCCUGCAUGCCAAAUAAAAACAACACUAGGCUAGCUGAGUGACAAAAUCCAUGGAAUGAACUCAAAAUGCCUUGAUCUUUAGAUACGAACCAAAGUACAGGUUUACAAUUCCAGUCAAAGGCAAAUGCAAUGGCAUUUCAUUUGACAUCCGAUUGCGCAUAGUGGACUAAGUGCAAUUGAGAAAAAAGAUCAGAACCUGAACAGGUGGAAUUUGUACAUAGAGUUGAAGAUAUGAUUCACAAAAUGCAGUUAGCGGCCAAUAAAACUACUGGAGAGCAAUUCCGGUAUCAGAAACAAAAUUGGCAAAAAGGUGUGAUGCAAUUCAAGAAGGAGGCAGCUGCAACUGCACUCUGAUCACAAAAUAAACUACAUGCAAUUGACCUUGUUGUGACCAAAAAGCAAAGUCAAAAAAUUAAGGGACAAAAAAGGUGUGAUGCAAUUCAACAAGGAGACAGUUACAAUUGCACUCUGAUUACAUACCAGAUCGCGCAAAUGUAACUACAUGAAAUUGACCUUGUUGUAACCAAUAAACAGUCAAAAAUUAGGGGACAAAAAGGUGUGAUGCAAUUCAAGAAGGAGGCAGCUGCAAUUUCAUCUGAUUACAUACCAGAUUGCGCAAAUGGAACUACAUGCAAUUCAAGAAGGAAAAAGCUCAUAUGAAAAUCCAGAAUCAAAUCAUACUAGUUGAGAAAUUACUCUUCUGCAAUUUCUCACAAAUGCAAUUGCAACUCCUAUGAAACCCGAUUGUGCAUUGUAAGCUACAUGCAAUUGAGAUGCAUAUACAAACGGGGCCAGAUUUUGGUUCAUUUUGCCUAUGAUCCACGGUAGAGUAAGUAACAAAGUUGGGACAAAAAGAGACAGAUUCAGCAUCUGGGCGUAGAGCUGGACAAAAAUCAGAAUCGACACAUACGCCUUCACAAUUACUCGUGUGCAAUCACAAUAAGGAAUAAAUGGCCUGGUUUUGUUAGAAAAUAUUAAUGUAGCCCAAUACUGCAGUGGACAUGCCCGUUAGCCCAUUUAAUAACUUGGCUCUGUAUUAUGGAACCCAAGAAAAAAAAAAGAUCAAGGAGAAGAAAGACACAACGCCUCGAGACAAGGCAGCUCACAAAAACUAGAGAAGAAACACAAGAGAAGAAGGAAGAAACUCAGGGGGACUGACGGCCGAUCAAGGCAUAUGGAUAGUAACCUCAACAUGCAGACGCCAAGGUAUUUGUCCUUGCUCCCUCCCCUGUUCUUACCCCCAUACAUCGUUGCAGCAAAAUAAGGGAAAACAAAGGUUGAUCAGAUCAAUUGUAUAUAUCAAACGCGUCAUCGUUGUCAUUGCUAGGAUUGUUGCUGACGUCAAUUGACCAAUCAAUUGAAGUGAUACUAGAUGAUGCCCCACACGUUGUUGCGGAAAUUUUUAGUUAACAUAAAGAGUAUUCAAAAUUGAAAACAUAUAAUAAAAUUGUGCAUUCUUCACUUAGUUGGAAUAGCUUGAUGCAAGUAACAUGCAUGCAUGUGCAAAAGUAUGAGUUUUCCAGUAAAUAGGUGUGAACAAAUUAAUCAUGUGAUGAUGUGGCAUGCUUCAAUGUUUAGAGAAAUCAAAUAGUGAGUUGCUUCUACUUAGAUAUAGAAGAUUAUGAGAACAACGAUACCGAUUCUUGCCAAUACAUAACAAAGCGUAUUUGGGGGCAGUGUACAGCUUCCAUAUGAGGUAACAUGCCCCCGACACCCAAACCCCACCUCAUAACCAACUUAUGUUUGGUCUGAUACUCUGAUUACUGCACAUCUACAGAACAGCAGCACAGAAAAGUUAACUGAACAUGAAACAUCAAAAAUUGAUCUAUGCUAAUUCUGUUAAUUAUCUUCAGGCUGUAAGCAAAAUCUCUGCUUGUUCCUGGAAUAUCUACAAUUUUUGCUUAUGCAGAGUAUCUAUUACUCAAAUGGGAUUGUUCCAUGUUAGCACUGGCAUCCAUUAAAACCACUUGAGCUGUGUUGUAAGCAAAAUUCAAAACAUAUUUAAUAAACAAUCUAUAUGACAAAAAACAUUGAAUACAAAACAAACUAUGAUAUUUCAAGGAACAAAUUGACACUUACUGACAAGGUUCUCUGCUUACCUAAAGAGCUAGAACCACCAAUUAACAUUCAAAUGAAGCAUAUAAAUGACCGAAUGAGAUCAAAAAUCACCAACAAUUUUAGUCAAAAUAACAUGUCAUAUCCUUUAUCGCAUUUUGCCAUUGCAAGUCAAAGGACAGAUCCACAUCAUAUAAUCUAACAUCAAAGAAUCUGCAUGAACAGCAAGCAGGCCUUGGAAUGCAACACUUCCUAGGUAGAGCUCAAAAUAGAGCAAAAUCAACGAAGGACUCACCGGAAGAGGAGCAGCAGACUCCACCGUCGACGAGAUGAGAAGGAAAACGCGCGCCUCUGCUGCCUUCGCCUCGCCAAAUCCACCCCAAACGAAAAAACAGAGAAAAAUCAAAGGAAAAAAUGUGAGAUUAAGCAAGCUGAAACAGUCAUUUCGCUCGGAAAAACUCACCAUGCGGAUCGACCAAGCUCGCCGACGACGAACAUAUGUCAAAAUCGCCUCACAUCUCCCUGUGUUCACCUCAUGAAGCAAAAAAAGUGAGAGGGGAAAACACGAGCAAAUGGACCACGGCAACCACUUGAGAACACCAGAACGGAAAGGGGGUCUCACCGGAUGGGGCGCGCCACCCACGAGCAAAGACUCCGCCGCCGACGAAGACUCCGCCACCCAAGAGCUCAGAAUGGCCUCUCCGCUUCACCCUCUCCAGAAUACUUGAGGUCACACAACCCAGGAAGAAGACAACCGGGGUGGGAGCAAAAAAGAAAAAAAGCAGCCCACCAAACAGUCACGGAUCUUGAUGCAUGCAUCAACGGCUUACAAAAUCGACUGGUUUUCUCAAAAAAAAAAACAGCCACCUCGUGUAUUGCAAAACAGAUUUUUUUUAAUUCAUUUCACAAUUCACACUGCAUUCUGCAUCUAGAGAGCCCACCUCGGGCAUCUGGGUUUCAAUCCACGACUCCUUUGGUAACCAUCAUUUGGAUAUAGAAUUGUAGAAUUCAUUUUGAAUUUAGAAAACAACUUGUUUGGUUGGCACGAAAUUAGCCAAAGGAAUUCAAUCUCAAAUUUCAUGGAACCACAUUAUAACU